RNAcentral lists this long non-coding RNA (65012 nucleotides) under Musa acuminata (dwarf banana). RNAcentral's name for it is "long non-coding RNA (MACU_LNC004382)". Lineage: Eukaryota; Viridiplantae; Streptophyta; Magnoliopsida; Zingiberales; Musaceae. The record is from RNAcentral.
CCUUAGAGAGAGAGAGAGAGAGAGAGAGAGAGAGAGAGAGAGAUGAAACAGUGUCCACAUUGAUGAGAAUUAAAGCAGAACGAGAGAAGUCAAAACAACUAACUUUUGAAGGUGAGCCAACCUCCGCAAAGCAAUUGCUGGUCUCCGUCUUAAACCCACUGAGAUAUAUAGGUAGAUGUUAAAUAAAGAUGGUGGUGACUACUCCCAGCUCGGUUUGGCAUCGAUCACCAUAAUGUUGAUGCUGAAGCUGCACCUAACUUGUUUCGAUUGUUUAGGAAGAACCGCUCAGCUUUAGAUGGCCACACCAACUGCUACCUGAAGAUGAUGUCUAUUUAUGAUGGCUUUAACUGCGAACAUAUCAGACGACCCAUAGUCAGAUGGAUUUGAAAGCAUUCUCCACAAUUAUCCUACCACUGUUAUAUAUAUAUAUAUAUAUAUAUAUAUAUAUAUAUAUAUAUAUAUAUAUGUUUAUUAGUGAAGAUUUCUUGGAAAUUCCAAGCUUUAUAAACAUGAUCCAUCCUGCAUUAUGUGUUUAUCAAUGAUUUAAGGAUAUUUUUGAAAUAGCCAUGAAACCGUCAUUAAUAAGCAUAUAAUGAAUGCUGGAGAAUGCUUCUAAAGCCUGAUGUGUGUGCGUGUGGUUACAACCAAGUUAAGUGAUAUAGUUCUUCACUUUAUCUACACACAAGAAUGAAGUACAAAGGGAUACAAUAGAUCUUUUGCCAAGACAGGCUCGUUACGGUUUUAACAUAAAGCAAAAGGCAUCAAACGAUUGUUUUACAAUAAAUAAAGAACAUAAAAGAAAAUGGGCAUCGGACUGGAAAAAUAGUAGCCAUGACUCAAAGAUUAGAUUGCGCAAAACCCUCAUUCAAUCAAUAGCUUCAAGUCAACAGCUGAAGAAAAAUCCUAGCAAAUUCCUUAAAUAGGAUAUGGAUACUGCCAGCAGCAGAUCCACUUCAAAUUAAAGCGCAAAUGCCAGUAGUAAGCUGCCACAUUUUUCUAAUGGGUCAGCUUUAUAUGAAGAUAGACUAUGAUGAGAAAAAAAAAGUAAAACGAGUGUUAUACAGACAGGAAAAAAAAAAAAAAACCAAAAUGCACUGCUCGCAUUGGCAUCCAAAAAAGAAAAUGAAACCACGUGUACCAAUUUGUGGGAAGUAGACUAAAUCCACAACUUGCAGUGAGUGAUCAAACAUCAAAAGUGGGAUAGGAUCCCAGGCCAUUGGCAACAGAGCUUGAAAACAGUGGAGGCGGUUGUUCUCCUGAGUGUGCCGACUUCCUAGGUCUCGGAUUCUUGGGUGAAGCUGAAUAUUGGGAGGUUAGAUCGUUGUUCCCUGCAUAAAAGGAUGAAGGAUGCACAUGUAUCUUUGGGAGACCAGUUGGAUCAGCAUCUAAUGUAUAGCCCUUCUCGAUAGACUCGGCUUCAAGUGGGAUCUCAUCUAUUGUCUGGCGACCAACAGGACCAAGAAACAAGGUAUCAGUACUUUGCUGAGAGCUAGUGUACAUUGCAAAUAAGUUGUUUUCAGAACCAUAGGUUUGUUCAAGGAGAAACAUACCUUAUAAGCCUGCUGCAAAACCCAGAGAGUUUCACGUAUACGUUUCCUUCUGGCAGUAAUGUCAUCAGGCUCCCUCAGCAGGUCUUCAAAUAGGUUUUCUCUGUUUGACAAGUUAGAUCCAAGUAUAAUUUUUGGUUCACAGCAUAAAGCAGCAUAUAGUUACCAUCCUAAUAAAACCAAAGGUAGGAGAAUAUUAAUAAAUUCACAACAUGAACCAAGUUGUUACCUGUAAAGCUUCCUGAUAAACACAUUAUGCAGCUCACGUUUUGUAUGAUUUACCUACACAAGAAACAAUAAGAAACCAGUUGCUCAACAAGAGAAAACACUAAACAAUGAUAACUAAAAGCCAACAGGUCUGCUGUAGGUAAUGUCAGACUUUCGGUGUCAUCACAAUCACCAGUUAGAUUAGCAUCAUAUCCAAAUAAUUUAGAAAAGAGAUGGCAUCAAGCAUCAGGCUCCUGCCAGCUAUUGGCUAUGGUAAUGGUCAACACACCAGCCUUACCACCGUAAGCAGAAAAUAAUGUCUAGCUUGAGCCUUGAUCACCAAGUUGCAGAUGAGCAACAUAACCAUUGUGCUAAGGCUAGCCAUCUUGUGACCCACAAGUAACUGCUAACACUAAGAAAGAUCAAAUCACGUAAUAUAAAGCUAGAGUGCCAUGGUUCUUAACUGAUUAAGCAACAUGUCCUCAGGGCUAUAUCAGGCCUGAGGCACUGCCUUACAGAUGGAAGAUAAUAACAUCAUGAAUUGAUUGUUUAAAAACAAAAGUGAUAGAUGUAUGAUACAAUCUUUCAGAAGUAUACAGAUGUAUUGAUUUUAAUCUCAGUUCGAUACUGGUUUUAUUAAUCUAAGGGACCACGUAGGUAGGAUAAUGUAUCAGACGAAAUACCAACCUGCACUACCCAAUACCAUUCAGUACAACAAUAACAACAAAGUCAUAAGUCUCAACUAUUUGGGGUCGGCUAUAUAGAUCUUUUGCAGAACCACCAUUGAGAUAUAUAAAAAAUCAUAUGUUUAAUUAAGUUUAGAAUAAUUAAAUCUUUAUUUACAAUUGCUAUUAAAGUAUUUUUAGGUCUUCCUCUAUUUCUUCUCGCACCACUAACAUUAAUCAUUUCACCUUUUCCGACUAUCGCAUCCGGAGGUCUUCUAACCAUAUGCCUAUACCAUCAUAAGUGAUCUUCUCUUAUCUUAUUCUCUAUCGAAGCAAUACCACUAAGUAAAGCAGUAAAAACAUUAAAAAAUAAUAUCACGAAUUGGUAUUGAGCUAUAAGCUCAAUAGCUAUAUACUUGGUCUAUGAUGAACGUUAUGAUCGAGAUUUAAAACCUUGAACAGAAGCAUCUAAAGAAGUAACCCUGAUACAACCGCUGACUAUGUGAAAAUAAUCAUGAUAAAAUAGAAUCCAAUUCACCACAAAAAUAAAUGCUAUUAUUACAACUCAUCAUUCCAGGGGAUUGCAUUAAAAAGAAAAUCGAAUAAACCAUGUUAACAUUCAAAGGACUUAUCUGAACUUCAAGCUUAUUAAUGCUAAAGGCCAAUUUUCUUCUCCAAUAGAAUAAAUGGUAUCAUGGUCGUGACCACAAGGAUAGGAUAUCUGUCUAAAUAAACUAUUCUUAUGUCGUGGACAAUUACUAUCGGUUACACCAGGUAAUCAGAUCGUUAGAUGGAUUGUAGUAGGCAGCUGAACACAACAUUAUCCGCUUGCCUUUUGGAGUCAAUUAUUCUACUCUUGUUUUGUUAUAAAGGGUGGUGCUUGGCCUUGGGAUUUGAAGACCAUCCUAAGUAACUGCAUCCUUUUCAUGAAUAGUUUGUUGGCUGCACUUACAAUUAGAUCAUGAAGGAGGCAAUAGUUUGGCUAGCCCAUCAUGCAGGUAGAAGUUUCUGGUGUAGCCUAUAAUUGGACGAUCAAGGAAUAUAUUUGCUUGUAUUGAAUAAAAACAUUUUUACUGUAGUAUUAGUGACUACAUUUAGGAAAGCAGGGCACUGACAGCAGAGCACAAAAACACUUCCCAAGUAAACUAACACCAAAUAUACAACUUCCACAUAGAAUGAGUGAUUCUUCACUACUAAACAUGUAAUGCUGUCAAAUUUAUCAGGAAGGCAUAGUGCAUCUUAAGUUCAAACAUGAUUAAUAUUCAUAAUUUGUAAGGUCAGAAGGACAUUAUUCUAGCAGAGAACAUAUUGAGAUAUUUUGCUGUUAGAUUUAUUCAUAAUUUUGCUUGGUUGUAGGACCCACUCAUGAGUUAAAGGCAUGUAGACUUAAAACAAAAGAACAUAGAUCAUAGUGUUGACAAACUAAAAGCAAACACCAUCUGACCCCUCAUAGCUAGAAUAUAGGAAAUUUACCAGGAAGUGCAUUAUUGCCUUCGGCACAGAGUCCUCAAUAUUCUUUCUCACAAUAUCAUAAUAUGAUUUCAGCAACAAUUUUGUGAUUGCUAUCUCCAGAGCCUCCUGCUCAGUCUGAUUCUCUGAGGGUUUCAAGAUUAUUGGUGGCUGAAAAAUGACAAAUUCAGUUACAGAAAUGAUGCAGGUAAAUGGAUAAGCAAAUGAAAGCAAUUCACAAACAUAGUUUCAAAAUACUUGCCUCUCUCAAUUGGAUCAUAGAGAGUGAAGUUUCAACAUUAUGAACAGGCAUGCCAUAAGGCUUGUUCACUGGAACCUCUUUCAAAGAUGGACGGUCUUCACUAACACCAAAAAUUGAUGAAACCCAGCUCGAUCCAGUCGUACUACCUGAUUCAUCUCAAAGUUAAAUGGUUACUGAAAACAUUUUGGUGAUAAACAAUUGCACAUGCACCAUGAGAAAAUUGAAUGAUGAAAUUAACUAUCGUUGACACUUGACAGGGAACAAGUAUUCCCCUUGGUCCUUGAACGACAUUACUAGUAUUAAGCUAUGAGGCUGAAAAACUGUGUUUAUCAUUCUCAAAAUCAGUUCCAACGUAUGUCAGGAUACAAAAUUUUAGAAUUGGUUCACUUCUAGUGGGCAACAUAUCAAAAAGAUAUUAAAAAAACAUUAUAAUUUUUAUAACAGUAUUUUUCUCACCAGAUGAACCUGGUCUGUCAGAAUCCCCAACAAUUCGAGCAUCCUAUUCGUCAUCAAUAAAAACAGGAAAGGAGAAUUAAACCAAUGUGAAAGCAUACACAAGACAUCAUAAGAACAUAUGCAUUAUAAUACCAAAAAAGGUAUUGAUAAACAACAGGGAUAAAGCAGUGACCUGAUGAUGAUCAGGAACAACUCCAUUUGCUCCAGAUUUGGCAAUGAUAGCACGAGAUUUUAGAUUCUUUACAGAAGCUUGCAGCUUAUCAGAAUCAACUCCAUCCUGUGUAUAAAAACAUAGAUUGGUUGUAGAUAUUCUGAUUCCAGAAUACCAGGAUACAGAAGAGAAACAGUUGCAAUUUUCAUUUACUCUCUUUGGCCCAAACCCCAAGGUAAUGGAAACAAAAAUAGAAUCAGACUAAUGAUGAGCCAGGGUUUCACUACAUUUUGCACCUAUGCCUCACCUUUUUUACUACCAACAAAAGUGGAAAGCAAAGGCUUACCCAGAUUCUAAAAUUCAUGUCAUUUAUAAAUAAAAUUUAAAAAAGAAGUUAUUCCAAUAGCAUCAUCAAACAAGUCGGAUAAUCUGUUAGCUAAUGAGCAACUCAAGACAUUGUGGAUAGACAAUAUGCUAUUAUGCAUCUAUUUUUGAACUUAAUCUAAUUAUUCACAAUAUAAUAUGACUAUGCCUGUACCCAUCCCAAGGAUUUAGAAGAUGUAAGUAGGAACAGAAACUUGCUCGACAAUCUACUUCUGCAUUGAUUUUUUCUUAAAAAAAAAACUUUUGAUUGAAACAAUAAACAAGCAUUAGAAUUUAUUAAAAAAUACAAGCUAAGUUUCUCACAUAAAUUUAUAGAUUAUGAUCCUAAAGUUACCCUUCCCCCUAAACUCUGAAGAAAACCUUUAUGAAUGUCAAUAUGAAAUCUAAAAGCUGAGCAACACCAAUAGAUUAUGGGUGCUAAUAAGAAGGCACCAACAUGUUAUCUGACAACUUAAAAAUGAAAGGAUCAAGUCCAACAAUAAUAAAUUUAGGAGAAAGAAAUCAAAAUGAACUUAAGUUAUAGCAGACGCCCAAACCAGCAAUCCGUGCCAUCAAGAUAAAUCAAUUGGAAAACCCUGUUCUACUCCAGGUUAGAUCAGUCUUUGUUAAUGAAUGCAAGUCACUCAAAAGAAAGUAGUAAUGAUAGCUGAAGUUUCAAACAGCCUCAGUCCAACAAAAUAAUAUAAUCAUUGACAAAAAUUGCUAUAAAAGAAAUUUUAGUUUCAAUAGUUGAUUGGUUAAUAUUGUUGGUUAAAGAAGCAUGACAGUUUUUUUAAUAACAUUAACUUGUUUAAAAGAAGCAGCCUUUGCUCCAACAAAUGCAGAUGUCAGCAAAAAGAAGAAAAUGAACAUGAUAAAUUUAGUCUAGAAUAUAAAAGCAAAUCUAUUAGAAAAAAAUGGUUGCACGUACACAAUAGAGGAACAUAUACCUUAGCUCUAGGUGCUGAUGCUGCCAACCUUGCAGAUUUGACUUGCUGCUGGGCGACUUCUACAGCCUUACUUCCACCAACAAAGUUUGGAUGAGAAGUGUUUAUAUAAUCCAUCUGGAAAACCAAUUAACCAACUCAACCCCGGUCAUACAAUCGAAACCCAAGAAGAACUUGGACAAGUGAAACUUCAGAAAAUAGAAUAACCUCAAAACAAAAAGGAUUUAUCUUGAUCACAUGAUAUUUAAAACUGAUAACCAAAGAAGUUGGUCGGUGCCAUGCUUGCACACAAAUAUUUGGCAAAUGGAUACAUGUUUGACAGAAAUGUAGAAAUGGAUGCAGGAUUCCAGGAAAAACAAGAGAUGCCAAGAAAAAUGUGCCUAUAUGAUUUAGCUGACUCUUCUGAAUAAUAAAAGAGAUGUUUCUAUCACUGGGUGUGUGAGCUAAAGAAUUGUUUAGCUGUAAUCAUGUACAUAUUUUAGAUUUCCUCAGACAGGGCACACUUUUACAUUACAUAACAAAGUCUGUUAUACCUUAAAAUUUUGAUCUAGAAAUUCACAAUGCAAUCCCUGGCCUUUAGACAUCACAAACUGUAAGCAUGUAAAAUAUGUUUACAAUACAUGUAUUAGAACAUAAUGCUCACAGGAUAUUAAAAAAUAAGUACGUAUAACAAGGGAAACUUUCCAACACAUCAAGCACAUGCACACACAAUAGGUUGACAUGAUAAGGUUUCAAAUUUUGCUGAUUCAAGCAAACAAUAAAUGCUUGACACCUGUAAGAGGCACCAUAGCACUAACCUGCACUGUUCAUCAAUGCAAAAAUAGAGGGGCAAAAAGAAAAAGCAUAGUUCACAUGUCAUGCAUGACAAAAGGAGAGCAGUCAUAUACCGUUGGUCAUGUAAGAGAGUUGCUUCCGAGCAAUUAGCAGCUUAGAUUUUUCUCUCUAAAGUAGAACAGAAAGAUGAUUCCAGAAUCAACAAGGCCCAACUUAUGGUGACUAGGCAACAGUGAGGCUCAGCACGACAUGUACAUGGGCCAAUGGGGACUAUAAUUUGUAAUGGUCUCUUACAAAAGGGAGCAUUGGGGUGUGCAUUAAGUUAUUUGACAAAAGACAGAUUAUAACUUUCAGUUCCGACACAAAGACCAGAAAGAACAUAACAAAAAUAAAAUGACAAAAUUUCUACUGAAGUACCAACCGUGCACCAUCGACUGCUGUACCGCUCGAAAUGGUAUGGUACAGGGGGUACAUAUCGGUCCGAGCAUGGGGUGAUACACGGACCACACCUGUUUCGUGCAGUCCAAUUAAAAUAAUAAAAAAAUAAAAAAGUGAUGGGUUUCUAUCUAAUUCAGGGUUAAAAAAGAGAAAAAAUCAAAUUACAGCUUGCGUCUUCUCGCAUACAGUGUCGCUGCCCUUGCUGCUUCCACUUCACUACUGCCACUGCGAUGUUGCCGCUUCACCACCGCCACUGCCGCUUCGAUGCUGGUUCCAGGUAUGCUGCCGUUGCUUCUUCUCCUCUUCUUUCUUUCUUCUUCUUUUUCUUCUUCUUCUUCUUCUUCUUCUUCUUCUUCUUCUUUCUUUUUCCUCCUCCACCGCUUCCUCUUUGUCCCAGGGUCUGCCGUACCGCCCGGUACGGGCGGUACGUACCGGUCCGACAGGUUUUCGGUACGUGGACCGACUGUUACCGGUCCGAGGUACUGUAUCACUGUAGCAGUGCUACAGUACUCGAUACACCCAGGUGUACCGCUCGGUAUACCGUACCGUACCGGUACCGAGCCCAAGUCGAAAUACCGGUACGAUACGGUAUUGCGAAUCUUGCUUUGUCCUUCUUCCUUCCUCCUCUGUUCCUCCAACACCCUUUCCUCUGAACCCUCUUUUUCUUCCUUGUCGAAACACCAGUAUGCACUGGCAUGCCGUGUGUCGGCACACCGGUACAGGCCAGUAUGUAUGGGUUUGAUAGAUUGAAGAAAUGGAUCCAGUACCCGAAAAGGCAAUCCUUGCUGUGCACAUUUUUUAAAGCCUUUUUAAUUCUCAAAUUGCCAAUAAUUCUACAGUUCAUUUCAGCCAUAUUAUAACUCCCAAUUUGGUAGAAGUUUGCAUCAAACUUUUGAAAAACAAGUCAGAUUAACUGGUUCAGAAAUGUCCCAGGAAUGAAUUGAAUGAACCAAAUAACCACCAUAGCUAAUAACAUUACAGCAUGAGCAGGAAAAUCACUAUAGAUAAAGGUCUACGUAUUUAGCAAUUAUACAUUCGGUGGCAAAACAAUAAGAGCCGAUGCUCUUAGAUUUUACAUAUUUCAAUGUUUCUGUAAGAACCAAGUCUUGCAGCAUUAGUUAACAAAUAUGAUAAUAUAUACAAGAAAGUUCGUCAAGAAGAUAAUACAAUCACACAUUCCUCAAUCAUGCUUUCCAUAAAUCUAUAACAGAUGUGCCAAGAAGAUGAAUCACAAGAAUAUGUUUUGGCAUUCCGCUGAUGCUUAAACGCUCAAAGAAAAAUGAUCGAAAUCAUGCUUUCCAUAAAUCUAUAACAGAUGUGCCAAGAAGAUGAAUCACAAAAAUAUGUUUUGGCAUUCCACUGAAGCAUAAAUGCUCAAAGAAAAAUGAUGAAAUCAACUCCAACAGACUUCAAAAAAAUGAAAAAUAUUAACAAAGGAACAUACACAUUAACAAAGGAGGCAUAGACUAGCUUGUCAAUGAUAACAUACCUUUAUAGUAGCAAGUCUCAGAUAAUUAUAGUACAUUUUCCAACCACCAAAUACAAACGAUUGCAUGCACCCAUAUGAUCUACCAUAUCCAUGAACAGAAGUUAACAAGAACCAAGCAAUCCACUUCCUAUAUCAGAAUACCCUAUUCUUAGCAGGUUAAUUAAUAAACUCAACUUGAGUCCUUGAUAGUGACAAUGGAGGUAGAUUCCUUGGGAAGCUUGCGUUCUCUAUGGUAUAUUCACGAUAUGCCUCAACUGUUGCCUUUGGCAUGUUUAGGGAUGAGUUCUUGUCGUCUAUGUUCCUUGUGGUCAUGUUAAGCUUAUUUAGUAUUGUGUGACUCAACCAAGUAGAAAUGGCCCAUUUUCUUGUCUUCUUAUUAAAUCCUAUAUACGAAAUCAGGCUUCAACCGAAAAAACUAAAAACAAGAAGUUUUACAUGACAAUGAUCCUUUUUUCCUUCAGUUAAUCCUCAACAAUAAUACGGCCCCUUUACUCUGACAUAAAGUAUGCAUGAUAAAGAUCAAAUACCAAAAAGAUCACUGGUGACAAUUUAAAAAAAGUGUAGCAAUUAGCAAAAACCAGUAGACAUGACGAAUUACUAGAUGAAUUUCGUUGCUUUUAUACAUAAUUACAAUCCAAUAUUUCAGUACCAUAAAAUAAAGAUUUAACUCGUACAUACGAUUUGACUGGCCAUCUGGAAUAACUUGGGGCUCAAGCAUUCUCUAGACAAUUCUGAAGUUUGUUCGACUUAGAUUAUUGGACUAGUGACUACUUUGAUUGUAACAUAAUGAUUAUGUACCCAAUGCUCCUGUGGGUUGUCAUAUCGGAGUACACGCAUUUUGAGGUUUUUUUGUGCACAAUAGGGGUUUCCAUGAUUAAUCCCAGAUAAGCAACCAAGGAAACAGAUCCUGGGUCUAAAUCAUUACACUGGUUUCCCUAAGUUAUCGGACAUCAAUUUAGUCAGAAUAAAGAUAUGAGAAAUGCAUACACCAGGAGCUAUCUUAGUCUUUUGCUUUAUGCAUUUCACAAGAGCUAAAUUCACACAUCAAAGCAACACAACAAAACUAAGAUAGUUUAUCUACCUCCAUCUCGAUGAUAUGAGUAAUCAUUGUCUCUGCAGGUUGAAGGCCUUCCCUUAAGAAGCUCCCAACUACCUCAUCCAUUGACUUUCGAAGGACAGGAAAACGCUGCAACUCACUAGCUAAACAACGGUGGCUCAUCUACAAUAACAUGAACAAUUAUUGGUAAUUAUAAGGCAAUCAAGUUAUUUUCCUAACAAUUUCAUGGUGUAUACCUUUAUUAGUUCAUCAUAGAUAAACUUUGCACACUGAAGACUUGGAUCUAGCAGACGACCUAUCUGCCUUCGAACUAAAACUUCAAAUGGCACCUAAUCAUGUAUUAUAGACAUAGAGAACCAGGGUUCAUCAAAAUGAAGAAGAUAUCUAAACUGCAGACUUAGUUGUAUUCAAUCUCACAAGAGCAUGUAACAUCAUUCAAGUCACUAUCACCUCUGGUACAAAGAGUGCACUUUUUGGACCAGUUGCAUUUUGAAUAGCCAUGCGGAUAUCUUCAUCAGUUACAUCCUCACAAGGAUCAACUUCCUACACAAACAUCAGAUGAUCAUCCAUAAUGUUGAACUACAAAAGGUAGAGGUUUGUGGGAGGGAAUCAAAAUACCCCUCCAAUUAUAGGACUCCUAAACCCAUGGAGAACACUAAGGAUAAGAAAGAAUCUUUCAGAUUUAAAUAACAGUGAUUUAUAGUUUUAUACAACUAGGGAUAAGAAAAUAUAAAAGGAAGAAUAUCAUGCACAUUAGAAAAAUGAUAAUGAAAUACACCUCUAAACUCUUCACAAAGAUAGACUGAAAUAUGUAAUGUAUACGAGCACCACCGGAUAGCUCAUCAGUUGACAAUUCUUCAUUCUUCCCUUCCACAAUAGAAGAGAAAGCUGCAAAAAACAUACCAUUAGUUAUGGCAACCUGCCUACAUUCACUGAAAAGGGCGCAUGCUUAGUCAGAAGCUAACAAGGCAUGUGAACUAAAGUACCAACAAACUAACUUUUGCAUGUUGAAGUAUGACAAACGAAAUCCAAAAGGGAGACCCAAUGCAAAAGGUUUCUUGCAACACGAUCUAGGAGGCUACACAUGCAACCUUACCCUUACAAGCAAAAGAGGCAUCCAAGACAAACUUGGAUCAUCACUGAGAUCACAUUCAAUCUAAGCCAUCCAGGUGAAUAUUACUAAAAUCCAAGAUUAUAGAAUUCUAAAGAUAUGCAAUCAUGCAAUAAAAAAAUUGAUCAGUCCAAGAAAGCAAAAGCAACUUAAGACACAAUAAACAAUUAUGAGACUACCGGCAUAAACACAAAUAAUUAAAUUUUAAAUAACACAAAAAUUCACUCCAAAGCAUUUCUCAUGCCAAAAAAAGCUCAAAAUUUUGAUAUUUAUUAAAUAGCUCCAAGCUGACCUUCACAAUAUUUUGUAAGAAUGUUCAACAGUUUAACCCCCAUUCCAGCCUGCAGUCAAAGUUACCUUACAGUCAGUUAUUUCAAGGAUAAUGUCGAGAAGGAAGAACAUGAAAAGACUAGAUAAACACCAAAUGAUAGCUGAAAUAAUACAGGAAAAUGUAUAUCGAAAAGUCGAUAUCAUAAGGUAUCAAAAUCCUGAGACAACCAGCAGCUGAGUUGCCACUAAUACUUAAGUUAAAUCAAGCUAAUCAUAUGCCACUAAAGAAUAAGUUGGGUCAAUUAGAGAUUUAAGCAGUCUCAACUUCUCAUAUUGGCUUUGCCUGUAAAAAUGAAUUAUCUUCAAGUAACACAGAUAAAAGAUAAAGAAAAAGUAACUAAGCAAACACAUGCAAUGAAAGGGCUAUACAUUUUAAGAAAAUGAGUGUAAGAACCCAUGAUUGUCGUUUUACUAGUAUCCAAUCAACUAUGUUUUUAAACACACGUGGUGUGGUAUGUCUCUCCAGUUCAUGGACUGAAGACCCAGAUUAGAGGUUGAACAACUAAAAGGGAGAUAUUGAGAUAUAACACCAAAAUUCGACAUGAACAUAUGAUGCUUGUAACAAUGGUAGAGAAACUGCAAGAAUACAAUAUAUUUUCAUCUACGGGUACCAAAUGUUUAUGUAUUUAUAUGUAAUGUACAUAUAUACAUAUUUACAAACCUUUGAUUCUGCUACAUCACCAUAGGCCGCAUGCUCCUUUGCAACAGCAACCAAUUGGGCAUUUAUGCGAGACUUCAACCCCGGAAGGACAUUCUUAAUGUGUUGUACUAAAAUCUGCAGAAAAGUUGGAAUAUAAUACAUCAGGUUUAGGCCACAAGAGGACAAAAGCCGAAUAUUCUGAAUAAUUGCUUGAAAUAGUGCAGGAAAAUUAAUCUUUAUGUAGCAAAAUACAUAUUGCUAAUUCUGUUCAAAUAUUUAUAAUCCCAACAAAAAGACACAUUUUAAUUGUAUACUAGCAAAAUUAUCAUUUGAACCACUUACCUGAUUCAGUUUCUUGGCUAACUGAGGAACCCCACAACAAUGAGAAAGGCCAUGAUAUGCCUGCAAACCACCAUAAUGUGUCAUUAUAUUUUUGAAAUGAAUAGCAUAUAGUGCAGAUCAAAUAUUGUCCUCGGAUACAACAUACAGGCUGUUUGCGGAAGAAGUUUUCUUCAAAUGCCAAUGCAUCUUUGAUACUACGAUUCAAGUUGAUGUCCUGCAUUUUCAAGAAAGUCAGCCAUAGCAAAAUCUGUUGUGGUCACUGAAACAAAGCAUAUUUACAAAGACAAAGGUAUCAGCAAAUAUGGAACAUCAACAGUGCUCUAAAGCCUAAACACAUGCUCAACAAAUAUCUAUUUGAAUAACAGAUCACAAGUGGCACUAUAAUAAGCAAUGUGAUAAAAUGCACUCGUCUCAAACAGACAAGUAUUUGUUGUAAUUGAAGCUAACCAUAAAGUUCUUUCACAACUGAUAGGAAAAAAUACUUAAAACAAAAAUGCUGAUUGGUCAACCCAUGCUAACUAGUCACCAUAUAUGUCAUUGGCUUUAAUCUAGAGAUUAAAACCGGAACCUAUUAAAUUUAUCCAACAACAAUCAUGAAAAAUUAGACCUAAAUAUAACCAUCUGUAUUCCAGUUUAGCUUUGCUUGGAGUAAAUUUAUAACAUAGCCCGAGAGCCUCAAGCCCUUCUGAAUAUCUUGCUUGGCAAUUCCUCUGACUUCCUGGAUCCUCUAACAUGUAAGGGCUCAUCUUCCAGCCCCCCCCCCAAAACCAAAAAGUAUGGGCUCAUCUUUACUUGGUUAUUUCUCCUUCCUGAAACCUCUAAAUCAAUUGACUAAGUUUCUUGUUGUGAGAACACUUAAAAGCCCAUAUUUAGACAUUUUUAGCAACCUCAGAUGAUUUUCCUCAUCACGUCUCACAAUAAAAAAGCUGCUGACAUAUGAUUCUUGAUUAGUUUUGACUCCCCAAGUAUACAACAUGUUCACAACAGAUGCACUUUGUAGUCAUGGUGCUUGCUUUGUUACUUGGAUAGUAUUAAGAUCAUGGUUCGCCUUACCAGUUUAUACCGAUGUACCGACCGACCAUCGAUACAGUAUAUACUGAACCAUACCAAAUACCGACACACGAUAUGGUGAGGCAUAAAGAUAAACCGGUGUAUACCACUCGAACUAGUUCUCUAUCAAACCGAUAUGUAUCACCCAUAUUGGACGGUACGUAGUGGUAUGGCGAACCAUGAUUAAGAUACCUCAAAUUAAAUGAUAAGUAGUUUCAUACAUAAUUUCCAUAACCAGAGAUAAGCAUGAAGGAAAAGCACAUAUUAUCCGGAAAAAUGAAAAUACCUGCUGACUACGAUUUACAAUACCCACAUAACCAAGUCGAAGUGGUAUCACAUUUCCUAACAAAAAGUUGCGUGCAUCGGUACCUCUGUCCAUUAUAUCCAACUGCAAAUAGAAGUAAUAAAGUUAGUGUCAUCACGGCAAAUAAUUAUAAUGCUAUUGUAAUUGUAAUUUACUAAAGUUCACAAAAUAAAACCUUUGUGAUGACACCAAUUGUGCGAGAACCUGCCAAAAUAAAAUUCAUUAUUGUGAAAUGGUAGAUUAGAUUUCAAACAUUCUGACAACGUGGAAUACUAGUCUACCAUGUUCUAGCCUCCAUAGAUAAAUAAUCGAUCAAAAAAACUUACCAUCUGGAUCUGCAAUUCUCGCCAUUUGAAGUGCAUCAGAAUUUGCCAAGUCUGCAUUUGCUGGUGAAACUGCUAAUAUAAUGCAUGUCUUAUGCUUGAUGUAAGACAAUAUCAUUGUUCUAAUUCUUGCCUCAAUAUCACUAGGUUGGUCACCAACCGGUACUUUAGUAAUUCCAGGUAAGUCAACAAGAGUGAUAUUCAGGACAUUUGGAGAAAAAAUCUUCAGACGAAUCUGCUUAUCAGAAACACCUUUGUUUCCCCCAGCUUCUCUUUCUGUUUCUGCCUAAAAUAAAUAACAUCAUUAUCAGAAAGUAUUGGCAAACAAUUGGGAGCAAAUUAUGGUUAGCAAGAAUGAGAAUUUCUCUACAAGACAUGAUUCUCUAGGAAAACUAAAGAUUCAAAAAGGACCAACAAGCAACACCAGUGGAUUGUAUGUCUGUGAGUUUAAUAAAUGCAUUUAGAACCUAGAUGACAAGGUGAAGACACCUCAUGACAUCAAUACAAGGAUCUAUUUAUCACCAGAGAUCAAAGUUUAAGACCUAUGUAGAUUCAAUAAGCCUAAAACCGUUGCAGAUUUAACAAAGUCACAUCUAGUUCUACGAAGAAAAUAUUUGCAACUCUAUAUGAAUCUUGUCGUGUUUGAGCCCAUCAUUGAGAUUCUAAAAAAAGCAUAAAGAUGUGUCUUGCGUAUCACCAAAGAAUAGAAUGCCAUCAGUUCAUAAUUUGUAGCAAGAAUGCAUGUAAAUUCUAAAUUAGGAAGAUUGAAACACACUGUUAUAUUCUAGAUUAAAUCAGCAUAUCAAUACUCAAAUAAUCAACAACUAAAAGGACACAUGUCAAAAUAACUAGCAAAGCGUACUAUCCAGAGUGCGCACUUCAAUUCCUAAAAGUUCCAAGCCAUAAGCAAGACACGGGAUGAUCAAUCCAGUAACUUUAAUAUCUAGUAAACCAAAAAAUGAAUGGCAAAAUUGCCAAGAAUAACAUAAAGGAAAGAAACAAUCUAAAACCCUCAAACAAAAUACAAAAACCCGAAGUACCUGGAUCUCCCGACGAAUCUCUGAGAAGUCGAAGAACUUCUGCCCGUUCAAGUGGAGGAAUUCCCCCCACUCCUCCCCUCCUUCGGCCGCAUCCGUUCUCCGCGGCCGGUGCACCAGCUGCAGCACCAGCGGCCGCCGCGUGCAAAUAUCCAAACCCCUGGGUAAGAAGUCCCGGCCCACCAACGCUUCAAGAACGCUCGACUUGCCGCUGCUCUGGCUCCCGACGACCGCCACCUGGGGGAGAUCGAUAGUGGACGAGCUCCCGAGUUGGGCGAAGAUGUCCUGGAGUUUGUUCACGAUAGGGAUGACGGUGUGUCCGAUCGGUCCCGCAGCAGGGGAUGGCGCGGCGUCGUCCGCCAUCGAAUCGUGCUCCGGCCCCCGGGAUCGGGAGGGUUUUGCGGCGGAUGCAGCGAGGGUUUUCCAAAACCCUAGUUGGAUUCCGCGGCGAAGGCGAAUUCCGAAGGCGAUUGAACGAGCGAGAAAGAGGGUGAAGUUCAAUAGGGUUUGAGCUCCGGAAUCUUUAAAAUCGGGUGACAAAAUGACCGAAAUAGAGUUCAUCAAUGGGCCUAUUUACGUAAUUUGAAUCGCAAAGUCCGUAAGGAAAAUAAAUUUUGAGAAGCCCUGACCGGGAGUCUUCAACUGGCACGGGAUUCGUGGGUAUAAGCUUGGAACAACGUAACUUGCAUACGAAACAUGUGCGACAAUUGUAUGCGAAAGAAUCAUAGCCGUUCAGUAGUAACAUCAAGGGUGAUCCUAUCACUAAUCGGCUGACUGUUCGUUCUGAUUCAAAUGGUCGGCUGGUACGGUUAUGCGGCCUAGCGGUUCCAAUUAAGUCACGUAACUGAAGGCCCAAUCAACCAAUUUCUCGAAGAUAUAAUGCUACAUAGCAAUAAUGUAAUUGUAUGGAUAAAAUUAAAAUAUAUAUGAUUAAAUUUAUACCUUAGACAUGUUAGUUGCAUGAAUUGGCAGAUUAGAUCGUAUGGAACGAGAAGAUAGACAGGAACUUUGAACUGUUUCGAAACAUGUUGCAACUUAAAUACGAGUAAAGAUCCAUCAAUAACAUAGUCCGGGGGUUAAUAACAAAUAAAGAUGCAUGCGAUGAAUCCCAGAUAAUUGAAACAUUGAAUCUUGUUGUUUUUACUUGCAUUAGUUAGAUGAUGAGACUAAUCAAUCAAUCAUUUUAUUUAUCAUAUAUCUGUUAUAGACCUUUCUAAAUUCAGGCCACCAUUCAUUAAGAAGCCUCUCAAAAUUCGUAAGACACUUGUCACAAUAAGAUAACUUUCUAAAAAGUUGUGUUUUCACCAAAAUCAUCUGUAGAUGAGUAGAAAACAUAUAUUUAUAUUAGGAAGUAAAUGGCAUUGUUUAUUCAAGGAAGUACUACAAUUUAACUUGAUAAAAGUCGAAAGCUAUCCGAGGCUUUGGUAGAAUCAUCAAGGAAAACUCAAAUCCUCAAACCUUGAUACAUCUAAGGUAUCCUCUUGUAAUGUUUAUGAGAAUGAAACAUUUUUGAUUGACAAAUUAUGAAGAAAUGACAGAUGCUAUAUCAUCUUUUUUCUUUUUCACCUUGUAGGGGUAUACAAAAUGAAUUUCUAACAACUAAGAACAAUUAAGGUUACAAAUAGGAUCGUUUUCAUAAGUUAUAGCUCGAAAAAAAGGUUGAGAAAGCAGUUACAUCUGCCCAGCUGGGGAAGAAGCUCUUCAACUUUUUGGUAUCAUCAACGAGAUACUGAUCUAACACAGCAACAUCCAUCCUCAAAGCCUCCGAACUGUUGGCCUGCAGUUCAUGCAACACACUGACAAAUGUGAUUUUACAGAAAAUAUCAAGCAUGAGAACAUCCACAGUCCAUGCAACAAAUGGGAGUAGAUUAUUCGGACAAAUGUGAUUUUAGUUCAAAAAACAUCAAGCAUGCAUCCAAAGAUUGUGAAUCGAGAGGUCCAAGAAAAAAUCAAGCAUGAAGACUUCCAAAUUGGCCAGUAGAUGUGAAGAAAUGUACUGCUAAAAUACUCCACUUCAAAAUGCAAUUAAUACAAUUUGGGAUGCAACUGGUUCUAUUAGCAAAAUUUACUUCAAUGACGAGAAACAAUUGAGUAAAUUAAACCAUUACCUCUAGCCAGAAAGUCCAACUCUCAUUGCUACUUCCACUAAGUCUACAUAUAUAUGAUGGUGGGCCACCACUGAUUUUCUCCGGAGCUGGGGGCAAAAGAGGAAACAAAAAGGUCAGGUUACUGGAAGACAAUAAAUUCUAGAGGCAAAAGCUCGUUGAGAUUGACCUGGAAGCCUAUAAUCUGCAAAAGACCAAUUCGACAGCGGACCAGUAAUAUUCAGGACUGAAGCCCAGAUCUCACCCAAGGAGCUGUAACAGUUUUAAACAAACAAAUUUAUCUAAGCUAAACAAAGUAUUUCAGGUGACUACAUCUAUAGAUAUAUACACAUUAGAACAGUCAUCUUCAAAGUAACAAUCACCCUAAAUGAAGUUCCAAGUGUACUCUGCGGUGACCAGCCUCAGAAAUUGAUUUUGUGUUACGAACAGUUAAGUGUGGGAAGGAUGCAUAAUGCUUUAAGAUGCUAUCACCAUCUGCAGGAAAUUUCAAACUUCCAGAGAACAAGAACGACACUGGGAAUAGUGCCUGCGAUAUAAGGAAACAGUUAAGCAUUCGAAAUUGUAGAUGCAAGCUCAGUGUGCAACUUCCUACACAAAAAAUUAGUUACUAUUUAGGUUACUAGACACAUGCAGCUACAAACAUCCUUAUGAAAGACAUAGAUUUGGCAAGAAAAAUGGAAUAAAAAUCCUUCAACUAGUGAAGACCCAAGUAUGUCAUUUAAUUAAAUUUAGAAAGCUAGUAAGGCAAUUCAAUAUUAAGACGAUCAUUAUUCUCCUCAGAGUACUAGAAAAAUGGAAUAAAUGCAAUUACUGGUUUCCAAAAUUUACAUGAAAACCACGAACGCAAUUUCCAAAUCUUACAUUUUUUGUACUUGUCCUAGAAUGAGGGCAAGUAGAAGGUCAAAGUUUCACCCGACCAGGAUGACCAGUGUUCAAGUCACGGAUCUAUCAUUAAGAGGAAGGGUGGGGUAUCCUAACCCUUCUGAGACCUGGUAUAUAGGGGAACCUUAUGCAUUGGUUUUGUCCUUUACUUUUUACAUAAGACCAAGAUGGUGCAUUGGAUAUUCAUUAUUUUUACAAUGUUAUGAAUAAUGAUAUCUAAUGAGCAAGGAACAGGAGCCUGGAAGCUCAGUUGUGCAUCAAUUUGCAUACCAUAACCUUGCUAUCAUAUCACUUAAGAAAACAAUGAACAUAGGGUUCAUACAAAGAACUGGAGGGGAUCAAGCAUUGUUUGUUACUUCGUCGGUAUAAUACACCAGUGCAUCACAAUUCCUAUAAGAAAAUAUAAAGCAAAGAUUGCAAUUUUGGUCCAUAUCGGGGUAUUGAGCCAUGUUCGGUAUGAUAUGUACCAAGGCAUAUCGAUGGUAAAUCGGGGCGGUACACCCAAAAUCAUAAAAAAUAACUUCAAAAAUACCUUAAAAAAAAAAUAGAUUAGAGUUUUUAAGUUAGAAAUAAAUAUAAUUUUAGUAUAAUUUUAGCAAAAAUGAUGUAAAUUAGGAAAGAAUAGUGUCACUUGUCUUUUUCGGACUUUGAGGAGUAACUCUAUGGUAAGUUCAGGAUCGUCCUUCCAUUAAUAUUAAAUUUCUACAAAGAAAUUAGUUGAAUUAUUAGAUUAUUUUUUAUACAACUUAAAUUUUAUGAUUCCAAUGUAUUAAAUAAUCAAUUGAUGGAUAUACUUAGUUCUACCAUAAAAAAGAACGAUAGGACUCCACGAGCGGUGGAUCAGGGUCCUCGAUCUAAUGUAUCUGUAUAUUAAUAUAAUAUGUUUGUCAGACCCAAUCCUCAAAUUGAUCCCACGACAUAGUGUACUGAUACAUCGCAUGCCAUUAGUGCAUCAAUGUGGUGAUGGUCGUAGUCUAAUCGACGUGAACCACAGGUGUUCGAGGCAACUCCUGAGGAAAGGACGAAUGUGGCAUGUAUUGGUGUAGAGCACAGAGAAUGUCUGAACUUUUACAGCCGUUACUGAUCUGUUGUUCCAUAUCGUAGGGUCGUAUCAUUGUAUUGAUGCUCAAAGAAGUAUGACUAACUAUCACCGUACUGUUGUUAGUCGUAAAUUCUUCGUAAUACGACGGUUGUGAAUACGAUGAGCUUUGCUCUGCAUCUACAUCGUGUAGGUUCUAUCACAUCUGCUCAAAAUCAUCAACUGACUUCCCCUUCCCCUUCCAUGCAUAAACUUGACCAGUACCUUGUCGAGCUUCAAGAUCUAAAUCUUGGGUGGCAUGUAUAAAAUAUCGCUCCUCGGUCAAGGCAUUGCUAUCCACGUCGCUACCAUAUGUCUCUAGACCGAGCAGGUUGUUAAAUGAGAUUGCGAAGAUGUCUCAUUGCCUGACUCGAUUCUUUCGAAUGGUGCAUCUGAUGCUACUGCAUUCCCCUUUACCUUUGUAUGCUGGGCAGACGACUGUGACGAUUAGGUGUCUCUAGUUCCUUGAGCAAUCUAACUCGAUGUUAUGUGGCUCCUUCUGCCACAUUCUGACUCAAUGUUGUCUCAGCCCUUGACCGGUAGGUCGGUAACGAUCAGAUUUCGAUCGUUAUCGCCCGGUAGGUCAGUAACGAUCAGAUUUCGAUCGUUACCGCUCGGUAUAGACCCUGUAUCACUCGAUACAGGGUAAAGUGACCAGUACCGCCCAUACCAGGCGGUAUGCAUCGAUACAAUAAACCUUGAUAUAAAGCAUGAAUACUAAUGGCCGAUGCAAUUUUAUCUUAGCUCACAUUAUCAGCCACUAGAUACACAAUGGAUAAUUAGAAAUUAUGCCCAGAGAACAAUAUACAACUUGUAUUUACAAACAGAAUUAGAACUAGUUAAAAUCAUUGGUAUGCGAAGCAGAAGUCUGAAGUGCCAAUUCACUUACUAUCCAAGUGCUCCCAUCAGAAUGAUAAUUGCUGUUAAAGGAGAACUCUGAAUUGAUGUCUAACAUUUUUGAAGCUUCAGGUGAAUGCUUGAAGAGAAAAGCCAGUGAAUUGGAAUCAACUACAGAAAAAUCAUAUCUUGAAUCCACAACCUUGUCAGCACCUGUCAAAAUCCCCAAUAGAAAUAAAAAAGGAGAAACUAUGUACCAAUAGAAACAACUAAGGAAACUUAGGGAAACACAGGCAAGAUAUGGAUAAAGCAAUUAUGCAGAAAAGAAAAUUUGUGAAUUUUUUUUCAUUUUUGAUACUGACAUGAUCAUGGAUUUAACAUUUAAGUAUCACUAUACAUAAAUUGUACCGCAGAGGUCCAAUGACCAACCUGUAUGUAACAUACUAUACCAUAUCAAAAGUAAUACCAACACCAACUUGUAUUUAUUCUUUUUUCAGUCGUCUAUAUCAAGGUAUAUUGUAUCACACCAGUACUUGAGGAAACCAGCUUGGGUAACUGUCCAAGAUUCAAUUCCAUGUACAAAAUCAAUAACUAGGGUCCUCCACAUCCAACAAAUUCAUGGAAAGAGACUCUGAAAAAGGUUGUACUAAUGAAGAAAUAAAACAUCUCUGUAUACAGCCUUGUAACUGAGAUGCUUUUUCCUCUUUUUGAUACCAUAUUGCAACUCGAGAUCGAACUAUAAUUAGAAUCAAUAUUAACGAAUCACCACACACAACCAACUCUUCUACGGUCUUAUGCUAAAGGUAAUUCUAUACUUCUCUUUUCCUGUGACAACUAAUGAAACAAAAGGGAAGAAUAUAAAAUGGUACUGUGAUACCUCAAGGUCUAAAGGUCAAAAGAUGUAACUUCCAGUUUAUAACUAGUUCUACAUAUUUUCUACAGCAGCAAGAUCAAGCUGAUUUCCAAUUCCCAUACCACUGUUGCACUACCAAUAUCUGCACAAUGGGAUGAAAACCAAGAAUUACAAUAACAAAAGAACGAAGUGGGAGGAAACUGAAGCAAAGGGCGGAUUGUAAUUGGCAAUGAUUACCACAUAAGAAAUGAUCCAGACACCUCAGUUUCUCAAGGCCAUAUAUCUCGAUAAGAUUUUAAUUCUGAAGGUUGAGAGAUUGGGAGAAGUGCACGAUGGGAUGAAAUUCAAGCAAAGGAGGGAAGAUUUUAAAAUGGGAUGAGUAUCCCAUCCAGCAUUGGCUCUGUUGUGCAGGGUUAUUCACCAAAGCUGUCAACCCGCCAAAGAACUACCUAGAGCCUGGGUCACCAAUCUUAAUUUCAACAAGGGUCAGAACUAAGAGGCAAUGACCACACGGACAUGAUGACCAUAGGAACAAUAGCGCACUGCCAUAAGGAGUUAGAAUGUAAUUUAUAUUUAAAGAUGAGAUUUAAAUCUUGCUGUUGUUAUUGAGCACAAAUGGAAACAAGUCAACAAAAUACAAAUUUACAUGGUCAUAGAUGAAAACAGCUAAAUCAAAUUUAUCAUAAUCAGACCAAUGUGUUGAAUCUCAAAGAACAAAUUGGCAGAUGUUUGAGGCUAUAGAGUUCCUAGUGUAAUAAAAAGUUGUCUAGUACAGACAAAUGUCCAACAGAAGAUAUCAUGGUCACCUAGUUAAAAGAUGUCUGGCAUAAAAAGAUACAUGUAACAGCAUACCGGCAGUAUUAAAUGUGUGUUGAAGCACAACCCUCUUUGGUGCAUCCAAACUGUAUGGAAAGAACUGUGAUGAUAGAGCCAGAGCGAUAAUAGUCACUUGCAUGAAGCAUUGCAAAAUGGAUGACCUGGCCAACCAAUGACCAACUACGGGCAUUAGUGGACCCAUGCACCACCCAGUCACCAGUCCAAUUGUAGCUGCAACUACAGCAUCCUGCACAAAAUAGCCUGCAUAAAAAUCACUUUAGCAUCAAACAGCUACUCAUUCUGUUUAUUGUAUAUUCAACAGACAGCUCAACUGCAUUAUGGAUAAACUUUUAAACAACUAUGCAAAUUGUCCAUGUUGUUAUCCCAAGAACAUCCUAAAAUAUAAUUACAAGGUUACAAUAAGAUUCACAUGUAGCUUAAUCAUAUCAACAAGCAUCAUACCAAAUAAUAAGGGAUCUUCACUACUUGAUCAUAGCAGUAAGUCAGCAUCCACAUGUAAUUGCAGUUUACUUCAGCAUCAAUGUUUUAUUAAGGGGAGCUCAGGCACUCGCCUAGGUGCCCAAGCAAGGCUACGAGCGCCUCUAGUUGGGUUCAGGCAAGCAAUAGGGCUAAGCAUGGCCCAGGCAUACCAGAGGCCCAAGCGCUAGGUGGCUCAAGUGCACGCUUGAGUUAAACAAGGUGUAUGGGUUUGAUUUGCAGUCAAAACAGAUGAUUUAGUUGAACCAAUUGAACAAACUGCAACACCUCUCAAGCCACCUCAAUGCGCUUCUAUGAAUGGGAAGAAACCCUAGCUAACAAUCGAAUCUUCCCGAUGAUUGCUAUCUAUGUUGCUUCCUUUGUCAACUGAAACUUCUCACUAGAAUCGAGACUCCGCCACCUAACAAAGCGACACUAUCCACCACGACCGCCUCCUUCCAUUGACAACCUUCUCUACCGACAUUGUCAGUGUUUGCAAUCUCAAACGCCAUCUCCUCCACCUAACGACUUCCUUCUCCGAUAUUCCUCUCCAUCAACAGUGCAAGCCCCCUCCUCUCGCUUCUCUCUCCGUUUUGGGCUCUCUCUCCCCUAGCCCUCCUCCCCCUUUUCUCCCCUGCCUCUCAAUCACCACCCACCACUUCUCUCUCCUACUCAUUAUAGAUGGUACAUUUAUCUUAGUGGUUAAACGUAUGUAAUUUAAUGUUUUAGUGAUGAUAUUUUGAAUAUGAAAUGACAUGAAACUCAUGUGUUAUCUCAUUUUUAUUUUAAUGAUUAUUUUUAUCCAGAAAUACAUUUUUAUCAUUUUAUAUUUGAUGAGCGCCUCCCUUCGCUCAAGCGAGCAUGCGUUUUGGAAGCUUGGCACCUUUUCAGGCCUAGCGACUUUAACAACAAUGUUCAGCAUAAGUAAGAAAUCCAAGCAUUAAGAACAACUUUAGCAUCAACUAUACUGCAACUCAUUUUUGUUUACUGUACUUUAACAGUUUACUGACAGCUAGACAAGUAUAAAAAAUUUUAACCAGCCAUGAAAAUUUGCUAUGCUAUUGGCCCAUGGCUAUUUUAAAGUAUAACCACAUAAAAUUAUAACAGGAUUCAAAUGUAGCUAAACCCAUACAAACAAGAAUAUUAGUGAAGAAUAAGAGAACUUUCCCCAACUUCAGCAUAGCAGUAAGCCAGUAACUACAUCCUUUUGAAGUGUUGUUCAGCAUAAGAAGAGCAUCAAAGCAUUAGGAACAAAAGAGACCUUAAGGAAGUAAAUUAUUCUGAGUACCAUUAAAUCUUAAUUCUGAUUUUUGUCAGAAUGAAUUGCUUGAAAACUUGGUCCUACUAAAAGAAGAACAGCUUUUAUUUUCAAUUGUGAAAGCGACUGGAUAGUGAAUGCAAGAAGAUAAUUAUCAAAAACAACUGUCUGGAAAUUUAUUCAAAAAAAGCGAUUGGCAUAAAAAAGACAUGUAAGAUAUAAAAAAAGAAGAGCAGAAAACUAACCAUAAGGCUGUGGAAGAGAGCCCAUCAUACCCAUCUUCUCAAUCAAAAAUUGGACAAGAAACCCACUGUAGUAAACACUGUAUAGAACGCAGGGGAUCAUAGGGACUACAUAUCCUGCUAAUGACCUGUAAGCAUAAGUACAUAAGAACAUGAUACUUGAAGAUAAACAUUCAUUUUUAUGCUAUAUGAAAAUGAAAACAAAUUACUAUCAUGUACACGGAAGAAUGACCACCAUAAGUUGCAUUAUCAACAGUUGCUAUAUAGAACUAUCUUGGAAACCAUGAAAUUUCAUGUAUGGUGGGAAAAUACCCAGAAAAUUGCUCCUUGCAUACUUUUUCAUGUAAAAAGAAACUUAGUGAUGGCACUAUAUGCUCAGUAAUUUGAACGUCUAAGAAUUUACAGGUUAAUCAUUUUCUACAGAAGAAUAUUUCUUAUUCUUAAAGUUGUGUUCCAAUGGGUUAAGACCAGUAACGAUCAUCAUUCUCUCAUUGAUGUUAUUAUUCCUUCAGGCUCAAUCUGAUUUGGAUCCAUGUGAAGAAUACAAUACAUGUCACAAUAAAUGUUAGUUCGACAUGUAUUAUUCCCUCUAGAAAUUUAGCUAGAUAUAAGAUCACUCUGCUUGUAGUCAUACCAAAGGAUAGCCUCCUUUACUGAAUCUCCGAAGCAUUGCCAGGAAGAUACAAGACAACAAUGCGGUCUUCUGAUGUGGCUAAACAUUUGUUUUAAAACUUAAUGCAUACCACUGCUGUGUUUUCUCCAUCAACAGUACGAUGAUCAGUUCAAAAUUUUUCUAGGACAGCUGUGAUACUCAAUGCAUCUCAACCACAGUGCUGUGCCUGGAUGGAGGUUUCUGUUGGCUCUUCAUUCAUUAUGCUUAUAAAAUGUGAUCUUCUUUUGCAAUAUUUUAUGUCCUUAUACCAAUUAUCUACCUUAUUUACCAAAAACUACUAUAUGACGUUGGUCAGUGCACCAAUCUGGCACACUUUUUUAUGAUCCCAUUUACUGGGAUGCACCUCUGUGCUUGCAGUCACCUUGAUCAGUUUCUUCUUUCCACCAACUACAAUACAACCAUAGCAAACAACUUAUUUCUCCCAAAGAUCAUCUCCAUCAUUAUCAAGCUUACUUACCUCUGUCCUUGGUUAGACUCUUCAAACUUCUUUAUACAUUUUCAUCAAUAGGUUAACCACAUAAAACAUAUGAUGCACUACAUCACUGGCAAUAUGAAGUGAUGUAACAUGUAUACUGCAUGGCCUUCCUCACUGGCAAUAUGAUCAAGCUGAUGCUCAGCGUAAACCUCAACAUCAUAGGCAAUUAGAGGAUAAAAACAGUGCCAUAUGUUUAGCCCAGAAGUUAUUUUACAAAGACUGGUGAAGUGGGAACCAGAACACAUUUUACUGUCCAAAGUGCAGACUGAAAGAAAAGAAAAGAAGAAAUCUGAAAUAUACACUGCAUUCAUGUGAUGUAAAAUGUGCAACAUUAGGUGCAAAGACAAUUCAAUAAGACCAUAGCAUGGCAGGCAAUGAUCUGAUGUCUUAACCAUUAAAGUGGAAAAAGAUAUGCUUCAUCUAUAUUUGCAAUUUAUUGACUUUUUAAGAUACUCUUACUUAUGAUGUUCGUUCGAUGGUGAUGUCAUGUGAAACAUAUUUGUUAACUACUUUUAGUUGGGCAAUGUCUUAGAGAAGUAGCAACGAUUUUAUGCAUAAGAGACAAGAAGUUGUCCCAAGUACUUCAGCAAAGUUAGGCAAAAAGCUGAACCACUGUACAAAAGCUUGCAUGUGUCAAGGGUGCAUAGAAAGUACUUGAUUGAUUGACGGCCACAACGCUUUCUCAUAAUGCAAUAAGCGAACCAAGCAAGCAGCAUAGACAAUGAUAUCAUACAUGUCAAGAAACCACCACCAAGCUGAGCUAGCAGAUAAACCUGCUCAAAAUAAAUGUUUCUUCUGUAUAAUUUGGCAUGAAUCUAAUAAAAAAUGCAUGCAGAUAACUGUAAGUCUGUGACAAUAAAUAACAUAAGCAAAAUUAAGCCAUGAAAUGAUUGCUGAAGACUAAUUAUGUAAAAGAAUGGCACAGUUGAGUAUAGCUAGAGGAGGUCCAAUCUUUUCUUUUUGCCAAGGUCCAAUCUAUAAUAGAGCAUAUACUACAAAAAGGUAUAGUGGGAAGCCAAAGUUCUUCACAUGCUUGCCUAAGAUGGUAUAACAACAAAAGCUGAAAAAAGUUUUGAAGUUAUCAUAUAACAUGAAACAAUAUGUGCUGCAUCUUUGAAAAAAUCAGAGGUAGUAUUAAUUGGAGAUAAUUUAAAGAAUAAUAAUUUAAGAAUAUUUGGAAAUGACAAAAAAAUCUAAAUAUACACUGCCAGAUCACAGAAGCUAAUUUAGACUAGCUCACAAGCAGUGCUAUGAGAAUUAGAGGAAGUACACAGAAGUCUUUGUUUGAAAUAAUAAAAAAGAUUGGCUUUAACUAGAUAGCGCUGUCUGAUGUUUCCCUUUACAAAGCAUAAGGAUUCUAGGAAAGGAUUCAUGCAGCUAAAUCCAACUAGUUGGGAACUUGUUAUUUUUGUGGUUGAUACACUUCCCUUAUUUAAUUAAUAUUUUAUAGAAGAGUUGACACAUGAAUCCGUCAAGUGUUGCUCCAAAAAGAAAGAAAUGUCCCAACAUAGGAUAUACAAAGCAAAUGUGACCCAUGUCAUAUAACUAGAAGUAACUAGCCAAUAGAACUUAAAAGGAUUGUCUUGACAGCUUGAACCAUAAUGGCAACUCCAUAAAUAUUAUGGAAACAUUGGAAAGUACAAGAUAAUAUCUUCAAAGGGUAAAUGACCAAAGCCAGCGUGUUUUAAAGUACAGGAUAAGAUAAAUAUCUAAACUUAGAGAUUAAAUAUUAAAGUCAGUAGAUGCACUAGCUGCACUGUAACAUUGUAAACAAACAACUUCUAGAAAGCGUCAACAUCAAAUAUAGGCAACGUACUUUAUAGUUUAUAGUACAACAUAAGAUAGAUAUCUAAAUCUAGAGAUCAAAUAUUAAAGUUAGUACAUGCACUAGCUGCACCAUAACUUCGUAAAGAAACAACUUCUAGAAAUGUUUUUAAACAAAAAGAUGGCUUCAUUAACAUAUAAGUCAAGUAAAUGCACCAGCUACAAUGUUGCCUUAUGAAACAAAACCAACUUGUGAAAAUAUAGUUAAAUAUUCCAAACCUAAUAUUACAAAUUUUAAACGAAAAGAUGACUCUAUCAUAGUAUGUCUAUAUGAAAUUUCAAAAGUUCACGUGGAAGCACCAAUAGUGUAACUUGAUUGAGUGUUCGGGUCUUAGAAGUAUCCAUGCAUAAAGUGAUGACCAUUGUCUUAAAAGAGUAAUUUGGAAUCAUGAUUGUGUUGUAUAGGUAGUAUUGUACUUCAUUCUAAAAGCACAAAUUCAAUAUUGAAUAUUGAGUUUCAAAUUAAUUUUGCAUAUAAUCCUCCAUGUAGUUUUUAAAAGGUGAUCCUUGUUGUUCUAAGAUGUUUAUUUGCAACUUGGGUGAUCAGAAAUAGUCAUAAACAACCCAUCUGCCUUCCCAGACCUAUACUGGCAGGAGCCUUGUGCAUUAGACUUGCUCAUUUUCCUUUUGAGUAGUUUAAAUAUAUAUACAGAAACAUAAAUUGAUAGUACAGCAGUACUACCACUCAUAUUUCCACUAUAUUUUACUGUAACAUGCCAAUGCUGUGGCUGAUGAAACAAUGGACCUCUCAGAUCUAGCUUGGGCCAUAAAACAGCUUUCCAUUAAUAAAGUGAUAUCCAAUAUAAAGCUUAAAGACAAGCUGAGGCAAUAAACUUUUAGUUGUCUGGUCACAUGAAAUGGCAUAGAUAUAGUAAGGAUAAAGCAGAAAGUCAUGGAGAUAAACCCCGUAUCAAUUUAUACCUUUGUGUGAACACAAAAAACUUACAGAGAGCACACGAACUACAAUCUCCGCAAGCUCGUAAGGGGCUGAUGCUCAAAUGUAACUGAACAUAUCCAGGUCUCAAAAGGUUUAUGAGCUCAAACAAGUAACAACUAACCACCAUAGCAUAGUGGCAUUAACUUUAGGUAGAAACUAGAAAUAUCUCAUACUGCAGUGUUGCCAGCUACCAGAAUAACUAAAGAUAUUAAUACAAGUUCAAAGCAACUAUCAGGCGGAUGAUAAGCAUCAAAAAGGAAGGAAUGAUAUCUUAAACAUAUGAUGUUCAACCAGAAUUUAUCUUUGUACAGAUGGAACAUAGAAAUCCGCACAAUUCUAUGCAUACAAAAUCAAGUUAUCAAGUCAAUUUCAAUCACCUAUGACAAAAGGGUCAAUAUUAAGACAUUCAACACUUAAACAAAUCAUCUUUACUUCUUUUUAACUUUCAUGGGGUACAAGAUGUUCAAGGAGAAAAUUUCAAUAGAUAUUCCAGCAACAAUCAGGUGAACAAAUGUUACUGAAUUGUCUCCACAUUACUACAUUUGCAAAUUGUAUAGAACCAAAUACUCAUGGAAAAAAGGUAUUUGCAUGGAGAUGGCAUAACUGAAAAAGGCAUGUAACAGAGUAAAAACCAAUAAACUUACCAUAGUUAUAAAAGUAUAUAGUCCAAAAGCUCCCCAAAAGCAUGCAUUAUCAGAUAGAACCUAACAAGUAAAUACAGAGCCAUUUAGUAUUUCAAACAAAAAAUAUUAAAUCACUGAACACUCCUUUGGCAACCUGUUUUUUUAUUACAACAUACAACAAAAUAAACAGAAUAGAUACCUUAUGUAAAAUAAAUAUAGGUCGCCUUCUAUCCUGCUUAGUACCAUUAAUCCUCUAAUCCUAAUUGUCUAAUUUCUUCUUACAACAUAGAAAUGUCUCGUUACCAUCUUAGACGAUUUUUUCUCAUUUUAUUCUUUAUCAGAGCCAUAACUAAUUUUUCAUGAAUGAAACAUUUCUUUUUUUUUUAGUAACUCCACACAUAUAUCUGAACAUUCUCAUCUCAAAUAACAAAUAAUUUUGUAUAUGUGGUUAACCAUCCAAUACUUAUAUUUGUAUAGUAUCACUAGCCAAACACCUAUGUUCUAAAUUUUCCGUUUAAUCUAAAUGGUGUCUACUGAUCAUACAAAACUCUACCAUUGUAGCUCUCCAUAUUCUCCACCCAAAGAAGGCUUAUUGACAUGUUCAUUUAAGAUACAACAGCACAAAAAUCCAAUUAUUAUGAACAUUUUUACGACUUCCAUGAGCUAAUUGCCAUUGCAUCUUAAUGCAUUACAAUGUAUUUUUGUCUAUAUCACAAUGAACAAUAAUGGUAAUACUGAAAACAUAGUUUGUAAAGUUAAAGGUUAGACUAAAUCCUGGACAUUGUUAAUCAAUCUCGAGAUGUUUAUGGCUCAAACUUCAAAGCCCUCAUCUUUAAUUCAAGGAUUAACAAAAACCAUGAUAUCUUGCACUUUAGAAAGAACCAUGAAAACAAAUGUUCAUUGGUCAUAGAAAAUGUUCCAGCAAUAAUAAAUAUGUUGCAAAUAAUAGAAAUACAAUAUCCAAUGGUAAUGUAGCCAAUGAGUCAACUUGAAAAUAUCAAGGUUCGUCAUACCAUGGCAUACCGCUCAAUAUGAGCGGUAUGUACCAAUCUGACAGGGGACCGAUACGGGCGAUAUAUCGGUAUGCUCCCAUGUACCAUGUAUUGGUAUACUCGAUACAGCUCAGUAAAGCUUGGUACGUACCAUACCGAUAGCUGGUCGGUACAUCGAUGCAGACCGAUAAGAUGAAUCAUAGAAAAUAUGUUAUCAAAACAUUGUCAAUUGUUGAGUUACCAACCAUAAUAAGUUUUGAUCUUUGCUAGAGAAUAAUACACAAGUUAGAAGAUUAAGUGGGUACACAAAUAUUUAAGUUUCUAGUAAUUAACUUCUAAAGGAUAGUAUCAUCAUGAGUGGAAAAAAUAUUGGGCCUUUAAGAAAAUAAGGGAAAAACAUAUACCACAUUUGAUACAUUGAGAUGUGACGCAUCUUGUGAAAGCGGAAAGAAUCCCCAUACAGUUCUUGGAAGCAACAGACCAACCAGUGAGCAUGGUACAAACAUCAAGAACGCCAAAAAAGGGUGAGCAAACCUAUAAAUUUCUCAUCAGUCCAUAUACCCAGCAAAAUUUCCACCAUAUUUAUAAUAUUUAAUAUUCUUAAGAGAAAUAAGAAUCAGAUAUUACAUUAUCCUACUUUUUAAAAAGAAAUUGAUAAAAUCAUCUUUGUAUAUGUUGAAAAAAACUACGGACUCAUAGUAGGAAAAUACCUUCUAUGUAAACAAGGGAUUCUAGAAUAUUUAUUUGUUGUAACAAGUAACAACGAACAACUACAAAAUACAACACAGUUUAAAGCAAGGUUCGCAAUACCGUACCGUACCGGUAUUUCGACCUGGGCUCGGUACCGGUACGGUAUGGUAUACCUGGGUGUACCGAGUACUGUAGCAAUACAGUAUGGUAUUUCAAACUGCUACAGUGCUACAGUAACUAUCCCUGCACUUCACAGGAGAGUGCCUGACAGCAAAUUCCUCAAAAGAACUUUGCAAAACAUCCUAGAUGAAAUAACCAAUCAACAGUCAUUUAAAUUAAGUUAUCAAUUGCUAUCUUACCUUUUAUCAAUGUUACGAUGCAGAAAAACAGCAGUUCACAAGGAAUGCUAGCUCAUAUGUAUUAAUAAUUACUUAGAAGGGCUUCUGAGAAACUUUGAUACUUCAAUCAAUAUUAUACAUAAGCUAGUUAGGACUAAAACACCACGUAAGAUACUGAAAAAUAGGAAAGUGAAGACAUUUUUGGAGACAGAAACGAUCCCUACCAAUUCAUCGCCUGGCUCGAGAAAAAUAAUCUCAACACAGCAAAUACAACUGGAAGAACAAUGGCAGAAACAAGACUAACAGCAUGAAACAAUGUCCCUGUAGAAAAGGAAAAAAGGUAAGUCAUAGACUAAUCUUUUAAAAAAUAUUUUUUUAAAAAUAUGACCAUGAAAAGCAUCGAUAACAUUGUAUAAAUUGCUAAAUUACAAAGCUAUAGUAUAACACAACAAGAGGGAAAAGAAAAUAUCCUACUGAAAGUUUAAAUCAAAUUGUGACAAAAAACCAGAAAUUGGUGCACAGACUUUGAUUAAAUGUAGUGUUGGUUGAUUAAAUACAUUAGAUUUACCAAUUCAAAAUUUUAUUAAUCUAUGCAUUUAGAAUGACUACUAACUUCUAUAACUAGGAGAUUGUACUAUCAAAUCAAAGCAUUGAAAAUGGUAACCUGAAUCUCCUAGAGGAUCUAUAAGUUGGAGAUACUAAUCUAUUUGGGUAACUUUACAUGAUUUUUGGAAAUAACCACAUAGAUAAACUCACUGCUCAACCUGAAUAAAAAAAUCAGACAUCGUUGGUGAUGCAAUUAGGUUUCCAACUGGUCCGUGUUUUGUUUAACUAGGUCUGGAUUGAGUGGUUAGGGUUAAAGUUCCAUUAGUUUAAGAUUUAAAAUUUAUAUGAUCAAUUCGUAGUUGAUUCUAGAGUUUAAUGACACAGGAGCAUUUCUAUGCCUUGAAUCAAGAGAACUCAGAAUAUUCACAUUAAGCUCUUGGUUCUCCAGUUAACCAAAAUUUUAGGACUUGUUUCAAAUAAAUUCUGAAAUUAAUACUGAGAUAUCUAUGUGGGAUAUUAUACCAUUUCAAAAUUCAAUGAGUUAGGAAUCCAAAGCAUCUUACAGGUUUCAAUGUAAAGUCUUUUAAUAGGAUGUUAUAUUCAUUUCUCUAUACCAUGGUUCACUUUAUAUGUUUGUACCGGUGUACCGACCGACAGUCGGUAUGGUACAUAUCGAACCAUACCGAUGUACCGACAGAUCGGUGGGGUGUACCAACAUAUCGAUAUGUAUCGUCCGUACCAGUCCCCUAUCGGACCGGUACAUACCGCCUUUUUUUAUAGGUCAUAGUGGCUAUACCACAUGUGAACUAUAAAAAAUUCUUCUCACUUUUUGGAGUUUCUAGGUGAUUUUUAGUUAUUAUAUAACUUUUUAAUUAGUUCUACAUGUAUUUUGAUCUCAAAAUGGUGAACAUUUAAUGCCCUGUGAAUCACCCAUGCUUGGAGGGUUGUUCCAAACCUACCUUGUAUAUCAUGUCUCAUAAGAUUUAGAGGAAUAAAGUGGUUUGAAUACAAGUAUAAUUUUAUUGAGAAUGAGACGUGUUUUCUUAUCAUUUUCAAGUUUGUAAGUCUUAGGUGGAUUCCUUGGAGGGUGACUUCAAGUCCUUUAUACUCGGUCAUGGGAUAUUUGUAUCCUUGGGUGUUUUACUUGAGUAUGCUAGUUUGUCUACCCUUUACUCCAUUCCACUUCUUUCUGCUUCCCUCUCUCCAUCUUAUCAUCAUGCUCAAAUAAAGUUAAAUUCUACAAACACUAUAUGCAACAUUUUGAUCAUUUUCCUGUUUUUCUCAUAUUUCUAACUUAAAACUAGUAGUGUGAUAUGUAAUUCUAUUCCAGGAUACGAAAUACUGAUUGGACAUGCACAACAUGACUGGUAUUUACUGGUCCUAGCCAAGUAUGAUAAGAGGACCAGGCCUUACUAAGCAAUAAGUCUCUCAUCCAAGCUCACUGCCCCAUAUUUCUCGAGUUCUCAACUUACCACCUGCUAUUUCAUAAAUAUUGAUCUCAUACUGGGCCCUAAGCCUACCACAUGGCAUAAGGCCCUUCCCUUUCAAAAGCCUAUUAAGAAGAUUCCUUGGAUGAAACCUUUGGUCAAAGCUCCCACCUCUCUAGUCUCUUCCUCGUCUUAAGUACUUUGCAGUGACACCGUCCCAUACUAUCUUUCACUCCAAUCCAUCCACAAUCGGGACAAAAUUUUUAAUUAGCAUUUAGAUUUUUUUGCAUUAAGAUACAAUGUCAUAAUAAUCUCACUUUCAGGCUAGAUCAAGCAUAGGUUAACUCAAAGAUAUCCUAGAUCUACAUGGACCAAGCAUAGAUUUGCUUGCAUCUCAUCUAGGUCUACUUGACUGCAUGCUUUAGUUGCAUGAAAUUAGUCUAACUAUACUUGAAGUUAGACUGGAUCCACGAGAUUCUAGGCUACACAUGCAAAUUUAGGUUAAAUAUGCAUGGAUAUAGGUGUAUACAUGUUGAGAUGGAGCUAAUUUCAAGUAUAUGAUGAUAGAGAGCACUGCCAAGAUUGAGUCUCUGAUAAAUGUUCAUCAUGGUCACCAUCCUGUAGCAUGAUUUUAUGGGUCGGAUUAUGACAAUGACAUUCUCAAAAUGUUCAAUCAAAGUGAACUUAAUGUAAUGAGCAAAAUGGUGCUUAAAAAUUGGUUCUUGCGUGGAUUCUACCAUCAGACCUUCCUCAACACAUCUAUCAAAUAAAGCACCACAUAAACGAAAAAUAUCGAGAACCUACAUGGGUUGAUAAUCUUAUCAAUAUGCGGUACAUCUACCAGCACAAAAUGUGAACUGUGAGCAACAACAUUCUUAUAUAGUAAAAAUAUAUCAAAUUGACUUCUGCCCGAAGGCAGCUCCCACGUCAACAUGACACAUUUUAGUAUUAGGAAAAAAGGAUAUGUAUGAUGUGGACACCAUUCGUUAAAACUCACCAAUAAUAUGCAUUGGCGAGAGCCUCAUAUACUGAGUUCACCCUUCUUAUAUUGUGGAUACCAAGAUUGUAAUUUUUUUAUUAUGUCUUAUAAUUGUACUUAUUUGUAAUGUUUGAAAUUUGAACUAGUGAUUUAAAAAGCGCUAGGCGCUCGCCUGAGCGAAGCGAUGUGCUAAAAUAUAAAAAUAUAUAAUAUAAUUAAUAAAUAUAAUUAUUUAAAUAAAAAUAUGAUAUUGAAUUAAAAAAAUCUUACAAAAUCAUAAUAUCACAUUAACAAAAAAUCUCAAAAUUCAAAAUAAUAACAAUAAUUUCAAAUAAAUAAAAAUUAGCAUUAUUAAAAUCAAAAUAAUAUAUUAUUAAUAUAAUAAAUAAAAAAAUAUUGUUACUAAUAUAAUGUUAAUAUACUGUUAACAGUAUACUAUCGAGUCAAUGUGAGAAGAGGGAGUAAGAGUAUCAGUAGCGGCGGCGGCGGGAGCGACGAUAGUGGCGAGCAACGACAACAGUGGCAAGCAGUGGUAGUGGCAGCGGUAGCGGUAGCGAGGGCGCAAUGUAAGAGUAAGACUGAGAUUGCUGACUGAGAGAAGCAGCAGCGGUAGCAACGAGCAACGGCAACAGGAGCGGCGAGAGUCGCAGUAGCAGCAGCAACAGUAGCAGCGGCAGCGGAGAGCAAUGACAACGAAGAGAGGCAACGACAGCGGAGAGAGGCGGCAGAGAAGAAAUGUCAACGAUAGAAUUGCGAGCAAGGUUAGGGUUAGAGAAGUCGCGAGAGGGAUGCUGAGAGUCUAAUAUUAGUGCUUUAGUUGGUUCGAUUGAACCAACUAAAGCACCGAAGAUCAAGCCAGACGUAAAACACUGGUUCAGUUGCCUGAUUUAACUCGGGCGCUCUCCCUAAGCGCUCGGCGCUUGGGCUCGGGCGAGCGCCCAGGCAGCACCUCUUUGAAGCGAGGUGCUCGAGCCUUGCCUCGCCUCGCCCAAACGCCUAGGCAAGCGCCCGAGCGCCUAUUGAAAUCGUUGGUUUGAACAUACAUCAUGUUACUGGUGUUCUGUGCUAAUUCUAGUGAUUUUAGUUACUUGUUAUGUUUUUCCCUGCAUGAGAUAACAUAUCACAAAAUUAUAAAAAAAAAAGAGGAAAUGGAGAUUUUAGUGGCUCCAAUAUGGAUAUCGACUAGCCAAAUCCAUACAAAAUAAUACCAAUAUGUAUUGACAUUGAGGUUAGCAUCAAUAUUGGACUUGUACUUCAAACUUCAAAGUAUAUUGGUAUAAGGCUAUAACUAUAAUAGGGUUCAAAUAUUAAUAAACUAAAUGGAGUAAUAGAUAAAAUAGUGACUACUAGCAUGACACUAAUGCAUUUUUUUCAAUUACAAUGAAAUAUUAAGUUAAACAAGUAACUAACAGAAUGAUUAAACCACAUCAUAAAACAUAGAAGAAAUGUCCAAGAUAUAUAUAAUUAACUUGAUAAAAAAACUCUCAUCUGGUGAAAACUUGCAUCUCUUGGAGAAUUGAAGUUGUAAGUGUUGCUCGGCCAAUGUAAUGAUUUAGCUAAGUGUUUACUAGACUUAUGACAAUGAUAUUCUUGCUUUAAAUUGCUUGAUUACUACCCUCUCCCAGCAAGUAUUCCAUUGUUUGCCAAGUAAUUGAUAACAGAAAUCCAUUUAUACAAAAUCUACAUAUCUAGUAAGCAAGCAGUUAUUGACAAUAAUCUAAAAAGAGAUAUACAUGAACACUGACAUUAGUUCUGUACAAUGCCUUAUCAUAUCUUGUGCUGUUGUUACUUGAUAGUACAAUUAAGAUCCGAGUGAACUUUAAGAAUUUGAUAUUGCAUCAACCUUGAAGCUUAAGCAUUACAGAUAGAAGAUACAGUUAAUUUUUUUUUGUAUAUUGUAACCAUAAAAGAUCAACUAGCUUGAUGAUUACUUGAUCUUUUUACUGUAUUACAAUUAGUAGACAUUACCACAGUUAGAAAUUCAUUUCUUUAAUUCAGACAAAAGCUAUAUAAUAUGUUAAGGCCAGGAAGACACUGGAAGCUGGAAGGAAAAGAGUAUGUGAUUAAAAAAAAGAAGAAAAUAGGAGACUGAAUAAAUCAAGUAUCCAAGACUACUGUUGAGUUUCCUGGCUAAUGGAUCAUCAUUAAACAUUUAAAGUUUUAAACUAUCACAUCUAUGGGGUUGAGAACAUUAUACUCAAAUCAAACUAUCAGUUAAAACUUUUACACAAGCCACAGAUUAGCAUAAACAACUUCAAAGAGCAGGAUAUCACAGUAAAAAAGGAACAUAAGUGUAGGAAAAAUAAAAUCUUAAUACAAGAGUACAGGACACAUAAAGUAAAGGGAAUUAGUGUAAAAAAAACAUUUAUCUGUAUUGAUGAGUAGUUACCUUUUAGAAAAUCACAUAAUGUUGCAAUCCAGAGGUUAACAGCACAAUUUGGAAAAUGCAGAAACAAUGACAUGAGGAGGAAUACAACCAGAGGCAAACUAUGAAGUCCCACGGACAAAUUCCUUGAGUAAUAUAUCUGAAACACAGCAUACAAGAAAAUGUUGUUUACUUUGUGUAGUUAGAGGCAAGAAAAAAACUUGGAUUUGUUAUCCCCUUCAUUGAGGUGGAUGAUCAAGCAUGAGUACUAUGCUAAUUUUGUAAUAACUGGCUGCAGAACAAAUACUGUAGAACUGGAUACCAUGAACCAAGAUAGGUAAUCAAAGAAAACAGCACGGUCCUCCAUGGUUCCGUGAGGUGCAACUUUUAGAGAUCUUUCACCAGCAUUUAGCAGCAAAGAAGAAUUUGCAAAUGCCUUAGUCAACCUGAACAAAUUCUCGCCACGUGCUUGGAUGCUUCCAGGUCUGAUAUAUGAAAGCUUUAGGUUUUUAAAUCACAAUAAUGCAUAUUAAAUUCUAGUAAUAGUUAUAGAAUUCUUAAUAGACAAUAAUUGAUGCAUACAAUAGCCUUUCCACGGUGUCGUAAGAGGUAUGAUAAAAGUAACCCCCCAGAACAAAGAUAAUAUCCAGUCCUGGAAUGUUGCCAUAAUCUUCAGCAAAUAUUCUGUAAUCUGUAUCACCAGGGAUAAUGCCAAACAUAUCCUGUUUGUACAACGUAAUUGAGUUACCAACCACACGUGAUAUAAGUGUAUGUAUAAUAAUAAUCUCAAAACUUAAAGGACAUAAACAUGAAGACAAACCAAAAGCUCUUCUAAGUUCCAAGAAACAUAAUAAAGUAAGUAGUUCAGCAUACAUAAACAAAAGAAAGUUACUUUUUUGCCUUGAACCCUCAUAGUUUAGGUCUUAAGUUAACACCUUAUGUUUACCCCAACUAUAUGUCUGGACAAAAACUGCAAAGCUAUCAUAAUAUGAAUUAUGUGAGGUAUAGUAUGAAGCAGCAUAUAUCAUGUCACCUUAAAUCAAGGAAUGAGAUUUCACCAGGACCGAUAUGUACCGGCUGAUAUUUGCUGAUACAACAUGGAUCUGCAUGUGAACCAUCCAAUUCCAAGCAACCCAUAUGCGGUAUAGGAAUUACCGCCCGGUAAAUACUCUAAAUCAGGCAUACUGUCCAGUUCUUUUUCUAAAAAAACUAUGUUAAAAAACUCUAAAAACCCCUUAACCACCAACCCUCACACCUCUCUAGUGUGAAAAUAUCACACUGCCUGUCACCUCCUUUUACAAUGUCCACUGUCAUGCUGCCUGCUAAUGACCAUGUAUGUCAUCUCCUCCUCAACCUCCUAUGUCGCUGCCUUUGUUGCCAUCUCCUCCUCAACCUGCUAUUUCGCUGCCUCUUCCUCCUCUCUCCUCUCCUCUUCUUGAUGUUCUCCUCCUCUUUCUCUUCUUCCUUUCCUCCUCUUCCUUCUGGUACUGUGGUACAUACCAACAUAUCAUGCAAUGGUACACUGGUUAAUAUUGGGUACAUGCCAGUCCGACCAGUGAUCAACAAGGUCAGAUACCCGAAAUUGCAAUCCUUUCCUUCAAAUUUGAAUAUGUAUGGAACAGAAUUCUUGCAGACUUGUAUCCCAUCGCCACCUCUUCUUCUCCACCACCACCUCCCCUCCUCUUCUUCUCCACCACCACCUCCCCUCCUCUUCUUCUCCACUGCCACCUCCACUUCUUCUCUUCCUUGCUUCCCCCUUCUUUGUAACAUGGUAUGUUCCAGGGUAAGUGUGUUGGUACAAGACAGACCAGACCUGUAUCAGUACAGCCAAGGACCAGCUUGGGUCUGAUAGCCAAAAUAAAGGUACACUUUAAAUCUUGUUGAAAAAAAGAAGAAAUGUGGAUCAAAUUCAGCUAAGUUCAACAAAAUAGUUUCUCUAAAUGAACUUAAAACAUAUUGGCUAACAAGGAUAGAGGAAAACAUAACCUGUGCUACACUAUUUGCCAUUGGAUAUUUUGCUGAUUGAGCAUAGACAUGGGCAGGCCAGGAUCCAGGUCCAGAUUGACAAACCAAAUCUGAUCAUUAGGAAAAAAAAAAGUUAAUCAACCUUCAAAAAAAUAUUGUUUUAGAGAUAAACCUCAAGUAACCUCAUGUCAAAUGCUUGGUUAUUCAACAAUCUAGUUUUACAAAAUUUUGUUAUGCUCACAACUUAUACAAGUUACUUCAAGAAACAUAAUGAUAUACAAGUAAAAAUUUCUUUUCCAUGUAAAGAAAUAUCAAGGCUAAGAUCUUACAGAAAGUAUAAAAUGAAUGAAACACUUGCAUCCAGCUUCUACAUCACUUCAUAGUUCAUGUCCAUACGAAUGGAAUACUUGUAUCCAGCCUCUAGAUCACUUGAUAAUUCAAGUUCAAACAAAUGGACUACUUACAUCCAACUUCUAGAUGAAAAAUUCCAAACAUAGCCUGACUACCUCAGGUUUAUUAACAUUCAAACAAGAAUUGAAAUAUCGUACUGUACCGGAGUUUUGACCUUCUCUCGGUAUGGUACUGUAUACCAAACGGUAUACCGUUCAGUUUACUUAUAUAUAUAUAUAUAUAUAUAUAUAUAUAUAUAUAUAUAUAUAUAUAUAUAUAUAUAUAUAUAUAUAUAUAUAUAUAUAUAUAAGUAAAAAAAAAAUUCGAUGACGUCGCCUCCCUUCUCCCCCAAGCGAGGCGACGUUGUCUCUCUUCUCCCCAAACGAGGAGACGUCGCCUCUAUAUAUAUAUAUAUAUAUAACAAUGUGCGACGUCACCUCUCUUCUCCCCAGGCAGGGCGACAUCGCAGAAAAACAAGGCUACGUCACAUAUAUAUAUAUAUAUAUAUAUAUAUAUAUAUAUAUAUAUAUAUAUAUAUAUAUAUAUAUGUACCACCCGGUAGCGAGCGGUCCGCGUACCGGUUUACUGUUGGACCGAUGCGUACCACCCGUACCGGGCGGCAUCAUUCGAAACUAUAUACCUUGCAUUCAAAUAUGAUCGAACUAGGAAAAAAUUGGAGCAUUCAGUUUGCCAACAACCUAGAAAUAUUGGUUGGCUAUAUCUAUAAGUUAAUUACUUUAGGUGAAAGAAAUCAGACGGCAGAAUUCAAAAUUUAUACGCAAACGCAGAUAGUGAAUGAUAAAGAAGCCAUAAAAAAAUUAAAGAAAAGAGCUUUGGAAGCAUACCAUAAGACUAAAUGGAGAAAAAAGGUUAUAACUGAAGUUAGUUAGAAUUUCAAAAAGGUAAAGAUGUGAAGCAUCCUUACUGAAUAAAUGAAGCAUGGAGAUUUUUACAUCUUUAAUGCCCAUAAUUUAGCUGGGUGAAAAAAAUUAUCAAGGUAGGAAUUCUAAACAGCAACAACAGAAUCCACCAGAUGUAACUUGUAUGCAAUUACAGUAUAGAACACACGGGAUGUUGAUCUGGAAGAGACAUUUGUGCAUCUACAAAAUUUUCUCAUUAUUACCAUGCAUAUAUUGUAUCAUGGUACAAUCAGAAUCUCAUUCAUAUGAUCUUAAUUUGUUUGGACAUAAAGGUUUACUCAACAUCCCUGCAAGACCUGGUACAACAUUGUGCUAAAAUGCAUUUUUCAGAAAACCAGCUUACUUCAGAAUUUACAGUCAAGGAGACCAUGUAAAAUAAAUAUAUUUUAACUGUAAAGUUAAAAUAUAAAAAGAUGUUAGCAUUGAAGGCUUCAAUCCAACAAAGAGAAAAAUGUUAGUGUUCGAGCUUAGAUUCAAACAAAAAUAAUCAUACCAAAACCACCAGUUCCAGAUGCUUCAAUGUUGAUAAAAGCCCCAACUGUGUUGCUCCAUUUAUGUGUCUUGACAAAACCAUGAGAACCCUGGGAUUUAUGAGCAAAAUUUACAGGUCAGAGUACAUAAAUUGUUGAGGAAUGCAGAAAGUAUUCUCAUAAGGUAACAAAAAACUAAAUGUUUUGGACAUUGUACUCAUGCAACAGAUGCAGAAAAAAAUUCAUGUCCAGAAUUCAGAUAUACAAUUAUGGGUUACACUGUUACAGAAUAGAGCAAUUUCAGUUCAAUGAAGGAAAUUUAGCUUCUAAAAUGUAAAAGGAACUAUGACUUCUCAGUUAUUUUAAUAUGCAUUUUGUACAAAAUUUCAAAUUUACAGUAUGAAAAGCAUAAUUGCAUACUAAGAACACCUUUUUGCUUUAGACAGCCAAUCAGAAGUGUUUUUUUUCGCUUGCAUAAAGAGUGUAAAUAUGAAUGCAGGAAGCAAGAAGGAACUCAGAAAUAUCGGAUAAGGAAGUGCCAAAGAAGAAUAUCUGUGUCACUGUAUAUUCUAAUAGAUUAUUGCUGUAGACAGCCAAUCAGAAGUGCUUUUUCGCUUGCCUAAACAGUGUAAAUAUGAUUGCAGGAAACAAGAAGGUACUCCUAGAAAAUAUCAGAUAUGGAAGUGCCAAAGAAGAAUAUCUGCAUCACUGAAUAUUUUAAUGGAUUAUUUAAGUGUCUCAUAAGCAACAGGAUGUUGCCAAAAUAAAAUAAAAUAAUCAGCAAGCUCAUAUUAGAUUGAUAAUGCCAAUUAUGAUAUGAGCAAUUAUUGCUAGUAUGGACACUAUCAAAUAUUGGAAGCAUCAAAGAACUAGAUGGAAUAAAAUAUUUAUGAGCAUGUCUACAAGGUAGAAUAUGCUUCCUGUUUUGAACAGGAACCCAUAGCAAUCCACGAUGAAUUGCACAGUUGAAAGAUCUAAAACCUAAAGAUGCUCAUGUGUCCUAAAUAGGGGCAGGAGAUCAAUGUAAAUGCAACCCAUAUUAUCUUACAAUGCAGAAAGACAGAAAGCACAAGUAGAUAAUUGUGAUGAAUAAGCAAAUAUAAAGCAAGCGACCUUAUUCCUUUUAUCAGAUGAAUAUAUAAAACAGCAAUUGCCGCAUCUAACUUCUUUCACUUUUUUCUAUUUGAUUUUUGUUAACAUAGCCAUCAGCUUGUGUUUAAGCCCUUGUCUGGGAAUGUUGUUUCAUUUUGGAAUAAAAACAAUUAGUUAAGAAGGAUUAAAAAUCACAAUUCAUUACUGACACUGGUCAAUGACUGAACCUAUUUGGUACAGUAUCAUAUGGCGUAUGAGUGUUGGUACAGUUCAGUACCAUCUGGACUACUACAAGAGAAACAUUUAUAUAGAGAGACAGAGAAAGGCAGAGACAGACACAGAGGUGCAGUGGAGAAAAGGGAAGAAGAGGCAACUGCAAUGGAGGAAGAGAAACAGAGGAGGAGGAGGAGACUCUCGGAACUGGGGGUGGGUAUCCACAUGAGAGGGAAUGGGAGCCAGUUGUCGAGGGGGACAGACAGUUGUCAAUAAGGGAGAAGGGGGAAGGGUGGGUGAUAGUUUCCAGGGAGAACGGGGCUGUCAACAGGAGAGAGGAGCUAUCAACAGCCUGUUGACAACUAUCCAGGGGUGGUUUAUUAAAAAAAAAAAAUGGGACUCAGGUGGUAGUGGUUUAUUAAAAAAAAAUUUGGGACUCAGGUGGUAGGCUUACCAGCUGAUAAGCCUAAUAUGUGAGAUUACUGAGCAGUAAACUUUGUUUCAGAGUGGACACCAUGAAAUUGCCUCCAUUUCAUAUCAGUUGGCCUUCGUGCUUGUAAGAAUAGAUUCACACACUGACGGUGCAAAUUGAAACCUUUGUGUUGGCUAAAAGAACUUGGAAAUAUGAUACUUUAGAAGAUAUAAAACUGUCUAAAAGCAAGCACCUGUAUUGUCAUUCUUACCUAACAUUCUGUCUCGUGGCAGUUAUAUGAAAAAUGAGAUUUUUAUAUCCAGCAAAUUUAAUGUAUGUGUAGGUGGUGGCAGAGGACAGUGCUAAACAUUUAGGUGAGACAAAAAUGACAGAAAAAUGAAAAUAUAUUGUUCCUCUAUGAAGAUUUUGCAUCAAAAGAAACAACACAACUUUUGAAAAAGGCUUCUUAAAAAUUGAAGGUACAAUAGGUUCAGAGAUGCAUACAGAAGCUGCUCUUGCAAAAAGUUAGUACUGUAAGAGAACUAAGGAAGCAGAAGACUGUCAAAAAGUCAUAAGUCAUUUUUAUGCAUAGCUUGAGCAGAGAGUUGUUCUUGCAAAAAGUUAGUCCUUGAAGAGAAAAAUGAAGCAGCAAACUACCUUAAUGCUUUAAAUGGUAUUGAGCAUGUUUGCACAUACUAUAAACUAUAAAGUAUAAAGUAUAAAGUAUAAUCCAAAACAUGACACAUAUCACUUUUGGAUUCAUAAGAAACAUAAAAGACCUAUGAAAGACUUUUGGAUUGAUAAGAAAUAUUGAAAACCUGUCAAAGACUGCCUAUUAAUAUUUCGUAACAGAAUAAGGUCCACAUGUAAUAGUCGGCGUUCAAGUUGGUUAUGCACAUUUCUAAAAUGAAAAAGUUGGUAAUCCAAGUAUGCUCAGGUGAUCGGUGUAAUUGAAAUGAGGCGAAGAAUAGUCUAUUUCCUAAAAUAAUUGUAGUUUGUUACCAAAAGAAAGAGUUCUUCUGCACCAUUGAAAAGAAAGAUAAUAGGUUGAGGUGGAAUCCAGCCAGAGUCAACAAUUAAUCGUGCUAACUCAAGCAUUGAUGCUGAAAAGAAAGACAAAACAAAUAAGAAAAGCAUAAACAAUCAAUAGCAUAAUUUAAAAUGUCAGCAAUCAAUAUAACAUGACUCACCAACACAAGAACCACAGUCACCUGCACCAGGAGAGCCAAGUGGGCUAUCAAAAUGUCCAUUUACCAAAAUAGAUGGAUCACGAUCAUUUGACAAUUUUGACGAAAUCCUGUGAUUUAGUUUAAUUCAGUUAGAAGCAGCAUAUCUGAGACUAUAAAGUACACAAAGAUCAAAGAAAAUUAUAAUUAUGGCAACCUUAAUUGAAUUGCUUUAACAUGUGUGUACAAGCACCCUUAGUCAUCAUGGGUAUUUUUAUUAUUUUUUUGCUCCAUAGUGUGUGAUGCCUCAACAAUCUCACAUCAUAAAAGAGAUGAAUAUUAUACAUGAACUUGAAUGCCUGCUAUCUUUAUCAUUAUUAUUAUUAUGAGAAGAGUAGAUAUUUUAAUUUUAUGUGAUCCACUGAGUGAGGCCUGCCCCAUAACAUCAUCAGGCCAAGUGAUCAUUUCAGAUAGAUAGCAAUGGAAUUAAAACAUUUUUGUGGCUUCUCUUUGUAAUGCAGUGAACCAAGUAGAUAUUCAAGUUAUAUUUCUUCUCAACUUGAUCAGGGGACUGGGGAGCAGAACUACCAAAUAAUGUGCACUAACAGCACAUUUGAAGGCCAUGGUUCCACAUGAGAAACUCCGUGAAGGAUUCCCAAAUACAUCUAAUGCCUAUAUAAGAAUGUCAAUUAUUUGACUUGAGACCCAAAUAAAAGAACUUGAAGCCAUAACUAGUGACUACUUGGCCGUAACUAUUUUAGCCAUUAAGUUAAGGCUCACUUCAUAUAUGUUAUUGGGUUGAAUCAUGCACAAAAAUCUGCAUGGGCCAACACAUUUAGACUUAAAACCAUCAGCAAAACAACAGAGCUUCAGUCAAAACCCAAAACAAACUCAUGUCAUGCAGAUUUUAGAACUCCAUAGAGCUUAAGCUAGCCCAUCGUUUUAAGACAGAUGGGUUUAAGCCUGAAACAUUAGGCUUUGUACCAUUGUUUUCUCUUUUCCUCAAAUUUUUGGCAUGUACAAGAAACAAAGGCAUGCUGACCAGGACAACACGGAAUCUUGACAUGACAAAAUGGUACCAGUAUGUUCCCAUGCCACAAAAUGGCAAUCCUUGGCUGCGACUGCUGUUAGUGAUUAAAGUUGCCCAUCAAAGGAUAGCACUUGGCUUUCUAAUGCAAUCAAAAUCAUACCAUGUCCCUGUCCUUGUCUUUUCUUUUUCUCUUAGAAGUAUUUUUUCUGCUCUCUCUUUAUCUCCUUUUUCCCUUAUGUUUCCCCUCCUUUCGCUUCUGCUCUUAUCCACACAUAAGUGAAAAACAACAUUAUUGUUUGAACUUCUAACCAAGUUCUCCUUUCUCCAUUUUCCUCCUCUUGGGCUUUCAAAUUAUAUUUUCUUUUCAUUUUUGUUCUUUUAACCCCUUCUCACUGUCCAUCCCUUUCUUUCACUUGUAUCUUUAAAUUUGUAUUUCUCUUAUUGUUAUCUUCUAUAAUCUUCAAUAGAGUUUGAGUAAGGUUUGCACAGUAUGUGGCAAAAAAUUGACUAGAUAUUUGUCAAAAACUCUUGGAACUGUAACAUCAUUGAAAAAGAAACUUGCAAUUGUCCUAACAAAAGUUGGCUUAACAAGACAUUAUGCUCAAUUAAAUCAUCACUUCAUGGACAAACUUUUUUCCUAACUAAAACUGAUCUUUUCAAGUCCAGAGAAUAUCAUGGAAGUCGAGAAAAGUCCUUUGCCUAAAAUAUGUAAAAGCUUACACAGAUUUCGUAGUAAUCAGAAACACUGUCUAAGUGUCUAUUUCACCAUUUUACAGUGGCAUCCACUAAUCAAAUUUCAAAAUUCAUGAACAUAAAAUUAGGAAGCUGCACAGAUGCACAUACAUUCAUUCUAUUUUAGCAAAAUUGCCUGUAUUCCCUUACUGAAGUUCUUAACUGUAAACUUGCCAAUUAAAAUUAGGAAUAUUAACUAUUGAAAAGAUAAUUCUAUUAUACGAAUGGUUUAUAGGAUAAUUACGAAAGCUAUGACAUCCAAACUUCUUUGAAAUAUACACCUUACUUUGACCACAACAAUCCAAACAUUUAUCUUUGGGACUUCAUAGUUUGCCAGUGAUUGUAUUCCUCCUUGUGCCAUUGUUUCUGCAUUUUCCAAAUUGCACUGUCACUUCUGUAUUGCAAUAUUGUGGGAUUCUGUGAAAGGUUUUUUUUCAUUAAUACAGAUAAGUUCCCUAUUUUUCAACAGAUAAUUUUUUUUCUUCAACACCAAUUUACCUUUAUUUUAUCCUGCCUUGCAGAUCUUGUACUAGGAAUUUAUUUUUCCUAUACUGUUCUUUUUUUUUGUAUUGUUGUGCACUUUGAAGUUGUUUAUUUAUGCUAAUCUGCAGCUGGUGUAAAAUUAAUCAAUAGUUCAAUUUGAGUACAAUUCUCAAUCACAUAGAUGUAUUCAUGUGUUCUCAAAUCUCAACCCCUUAGAUGUGAUAGUUUAAUGCAAGGUUUGAAAUUUCAUACCAUACCGAUGUCUCGAGCUUUGCUCGGUAUGGUACGGUACAUCAUACCGAGCGGUACGCCAGAGCAUACCGAGCGAUACGUGUAUAUAUAUAUAUAUAAUUAAUAUAUAAAAACUAUAAAAAAUAUUAAUUUUUAUAUAAAAAUAUAAAAAUCAAUAAAUAAAAAUAUUUUUAAAAAAGGCGUACGUAGCCUCAACGACAUCGCCUCCUCCUCUUCUCCUCGUCGCCUCGUCUGCGGCAUUCGGCGAAGACGUCGAAGACCGUAGACGUCUCAGACCUUCAGCGAAGAAGAAAGUCGUAGAGUCACAGACGAGGCAAUGAAGGAGACCGCCUCUUCCGCUGCUCUAGCCACCGCCUCCUCCGAUCCCCGCACCUCCAGAUCCUCCUCUUUACGAUUCUCCUCGUCAUUGCCUCCUGGAUUGGGGUCGUCGAGGGAGGGCGGCGUCGGAUCGGGAUCGAGAAAGGGCGUGGAAACAAGUUUGCGCCAAGGUUCUCCCGAUUCUCCCUCUUCUUCGAACGCCCUCUCCUUCUUCUUCCUUCUUCGACGCUUCUCCCUUAGCCUCACCGCAGCCAGGCCGUUAUAUCGAGUGGACCGCCCGGUAUGGGCGGUACGAUUCGAAAUUGCAAACCUUGGUUUAAUGAUGAUCCUUUUGCUAGGAAGUUCAGCAGUAGUCUUGGAACCUUGAUUUAUUCAGUUGUGUCUAUUCUUUAACAUUUUUGAAACUCAUCCUCUUUUCCUUCCAGCUUCCUGUGUCUUCCUGGCCUGACAUAUUAUAUAACUUUUGGAGGAAUUAAAGAAAUGAAUUUCUAACUGCAGUGAUGUCCACUAAUAGUAAUAUAGAAAGAAAGAGCAAGUAAUCAUCGAGCCAGUUGAUAUUUUAUGGGUACAAAAUACAAAAGUUCUACAUUGCUUAAAUUUCAAGAUUGAUGUGCUCUCAAGAAUACUUAACAGUUCCCUCAAAUCUUAAUUGUGGUACCAAGUAACACCAGCACACGAUAUGCUAAGGCAUUGUCCAGACUCCAUAAACUAAUGUCAAGGUUCAUGUACAUCUCUUUUAGGUCAUUUUGAAUAAUUUCUUGCAUAUGAGGUAUAUAGGAUUAUCAAUUUUGUAUAAAUAGAUUUCAGUUAUCAAUUACAUGCCAAACUAUGGAAUACCCAUCAUAAGUUUAUUAUGGCUGAGAAAUACUUCUAUAGCUCUAUGCCUCUAUAUUGUCCAAGAGAUGCACAAGUUCCAUAAUUAGGCUUUUCAUCAACUUCAUUACAUAUAUCUUGAAGACUUGAACAAUUCCUCUACUUUAUGAUAUGGUCCAACCAUUCUGGUAGUUACCUCUUUCACUUAACAUUUCAUUUCUAAUUGAAAAAAGUUCUGACAAUGUAGUCCUACUAGUCACUAUUGUUUCUAUUACACCAUUUAUUUUAUUACUAUUUGAACCCUGUUAGACUGAUAUGUGGCAUCCCCAAUAAAGGAUCAAUAAUUGUCAGUUUGACCAAUUAAGAAGUAGAAUGGGAAAGGGGUUCAGAACUUGGAGAAAAAUGAUACAAAUAUCAGAUGGAUUUUAAUGGUAAGUGUGAUUCAGAGUGUACUAAAAGAAAUCUCCAAGAGUAAAAUGCACGGAAUUGAAACAAGGAACAGUUGGUGGUAGCGCGAAGAGGUAUAAAAAUUGAUGCAAAAACAAUGCUUCUAAAUUUUGACAGUACUAUAAAAAUGAUAAGUAUUUUAUAGGAUAUAUUAUAAUAUAAAAGGUGGUUGAAAAAUGGAAAUAUGGCUAAACAUAAGGCUUACGAUAGGAUUUUGAUAGGUUGGCACUAAAGCCAAAGAAAGGAGGUUUAGUGAUUUAGGUAACACUAGAUGUAUUAGGUACAGGACUGGAUAGUGCUUGUUAUGGUUAGGUGAAGAUAGAGAGAUUAUUUUCAUAAGUGACUUAAUAAAGCCACUAUAAAUUUAGUAUCAAAAAUUAAACAAAGUAUAAAAAUCAUAAUUUUUUUUUCUCAUAUAAAAAUAGAGAAGUGACGUAAUUUAUUAACUAGUAAAGAAUCUAAAUGCAUCCCAUUGAUCUAGAUGAUUAGUACAAAUAGAAAAUUGAUUACUGAUUAGAGAAGUUCUUUAGCUCUGAUAUAUAAGGGAAAUAUUCAUUGCUGAAAAAUUAUACAGAAGUUAUACUAAUGAGCCAUGCUAUAGAACUUAGGGAGAAGGUGAUUGAACAAAGACCACAUAUGAGAUGAGUAUUAGUCAUAUUCAACAUACAAUUCAACGUUGAAUGCACAAAUAUGUAGUCUUACCAUCUGCAAAUCCCUUGAUAGAAAAAACAAAAAAAAAGCAGUUAUUACCAUCUUAUACAUGUCAAUCCUGACUAUGUAGUCUCCAAGACAUGUCAUCUAAGUCCUAAAAGUUACAUAAGCAGCAACCCCAAGUGGGUGAAGAUAAUGCACAACAUGCACGAACAAACUACCAGAAAAGUAUUUAUAAUAAAGCAAGUAAUUACCAUUAUCAAGAUAUGAGAUAAAGAAAGCUGGAAGUACCUCAUAACUACAUUUUUAUGAUUCCUGUAACCAAGAGAUAUGCUAUGCCGUAAAAAUAACAUAUUGAAAGUACCAUUGACAAGUGACUCCUCAACCUCUAUUCUGCAGAUUAAAAACAUAAGAAAUUUGUAAACUCGACAAGUAUGUACAAAAACAGCAGGUACUGCAUCAUGCCUUCCAGCAAUGUCAAAUUGUGCAUGAACAUGGACAUUGAUCAACCCAAAAAUAAUUAGUUAUUCAUUUGACUUAGUAAGUUUCAAACAGAUAAAACGAUCAUCUUUAAAGUAAAAUCCAUUAAUUUUUAGCAUUAAUUGGCCAAUGAUCCAAGAAUUUUUUUUGUGUCCUUACUUGUGUGGAACAUUGAAGUCAUAUCCAGUCAGAAGACUCAGAACUAUGGAUGUCUAGCUUUCGGAUUUCCACUAAUAUGUUACAACAUCUGACAAAUAAUGAACUUCUUAAUUAAACGAACAAUGUUCCACUUCUUCAAAAUCACAUAUUUCUUCUAAAAGCUCAUAAUGGAAAACCAAAGGACUUGCUGAUGCACACUAAUUUUUUUAGCUCAUUAAUUUUGAGGGCAUUUGAUAUUACACCUUAUGGUAGUCCUCACAUAAAGCCCUGAAAUGUUGCAAAUUCCAAGUAAUUUCCUAUAAAUCUACAUUUAACAUGUUGAGAUAUCAUAUGUCAACUUUUUUCAGGAGAGAAUUUAAAAAAAGAAGAGCAUCAAGGGAACUUGGCAGGGAAGUUUCAAAACACAAGUUAGUUAUCCUUGCAGAUCCUUUCUUUUCCAUAAAAAAAUCCAUACAAUAGUCAUGUAAAUGUAUUACCCACAACGCUAGGUGCGGCCUAAAGCUCAAAAUUUAAGCAACUAAUAAUCUAAUUGUUAUCUUACAUUGUUUUAUCGAAAGUGAUAGAGACUUUCCUUGUCCAAAAUACAAGUUUUAACAAAAAAAAAAAGUUCAACUGUAGUCCCAGGGCACUGAUCAUUUGGUCAUGCUUGGCUUUGGCUGAACUUAAUAACAUAUUAACUGCUUUAGCAUUUAUAGUCUUCAACUCCUCGUAAUACUUCGCUAGGAAGGAAUAGCAGUAGCGACUAACAUGAUACUAUCUUUGAUCAAAUAGUGGCACAUGAUAGAUGGAGAAUGGUUGAACAUUCAUUGCAAGUUGGGGAAAUCCAUGAGAAAACCAUCUUUAAAAAAGGAUCAUAGCAAAGAAAUAUAUUUCCACAAUCAAGAAUCUUUAAAGAAGGGAAAGACUUACUUCAAUAUGGCAUGAUUGACAACUUGCAUUGUCUGUGCAUAAUUAGUGCCAGCUAGAGAUCACCAUGUUUCUUUUCUGCCUUGCUUAUUUUUAUAUUUUACUUGUAGCUGUAUUCUUAUAUAAUAUGAAGAGACUUUAAAACUUGAACAUGGAUGAACAUUUCCUACUAUUUAUAUAAGUUCUUUUGCAGUCAUAGUCUCUUUUGAGCAAGUCCGAAAAACUUAAGAGUGAGUUCAAAGUGAUCCUUCCCCAGUCUGUUUCUAUUCAUCAUCUGUACCCUCCACCUCCUUUUACAAGCACCAAACCCACAAUAUCACUCCUACAAAUUGUGCCCUCUAAACACAAAUCAGAUAAACCUGUUCAUUUUCAAGUUCUUGCACCUUUUUUUGUUGACCAAUGUCAUAUCCUACAUUUGAAAACUAAUAAAAACCAAAUUUCUUCAUAAAUUAAUAUUUGAUACAAACCACAAAAACUAUAAAAAUCAGUACCAGUUUGGUUAGCCAAUCCCACAAUGAAUCAUCUAGCUUAAGUUUAGUAUGCAUCUUUUACCUCCCCUGAGGUGGACCUGAAGCUUAAUUUCAAAGCUAAUCAACAUAGUAGCACCAAUAUGGUUGCAUUCACCUGAUCCGAUACCUAAGCACUCGAAAUAUCAAUAAUCAGCUGGGCUAGGCCUAAAUCAACUAUAUCUAGAUCAAACUCAAUCAGAAAUUGUUCAGAAAAUGCUGUGUGUGACUGAUCCCAAUCGAUCAGGUCAUUUUUGACCAACCCCUACUAUGUAUUGUUGAUUUCCUGUCCAAUUCAGGCGAUGCUUCGGUUUCUGACCCGGCUAACUUGGACUCAAUCAAUUGGGUUCUGACUGAUCCAUUCUGAUUUUGUACCAACUUUUUGUUGAUCAAUUUGAAUAAAUCUGAUUCCACAAUCCAAUCUGACUGUUCCAACAAGAUCCAAAUUCAAAAUUCUGGUUUUGUCACAAUUUGAGUCCUGAUUCCCAUCUUGUCAAACAAAAACUAUAAGCAAAAAAACUAGUAACUUACCAAUGGUUUAAAACUUAGCAGUCCUAUUAACAGACACCUAGACAAGAGCUAAUAGUAUAAUGGAAAUUUUCAAUCACUUAAAUCAAUCCUUAAAAAUGGGUAGCGGAAUGAUCAAAUCCUCAAUAAUGAAAAAUUGCAGUACACUACUAAACCAUCAAAACUCAAAAGUUUGAAUAUCUGAGUUAAGAUUUAUAUUUGAUGUAUCUACCACAUACAAUAGAAAAAAAGUAAUUAAAGACAAGUAAUCCAGCUGGUGCAUGGAAGAAAAAGCUGUAUAUGCUAUAUACUAUUCCAAGUUCCCUUUUUUAAUACCACCUUUAACUUUCCACUUUAGAAAUAUAUUGUGGCAACAACUGUCCAUCUUAGCUGUUUGUUUUCUGGACCAGUUAUCAGCCUCCAAAUAUUUUAUCAUAAUUUUUAUAUAGACAUAUUCCAUGACCUCUGAGCAUAAUUUCUCAAGCCUUCUAUUUAAGUGUGGACAAUGUGUUCUCAGUUCAUAUGGACAGCGUAUAGUGUGAAAUGCCAUCUAUAUUGCAAGUAUCGAAUAAUUUCAAUUAUUACCAAGCAAACAAGGUAUUGAAAAUAAAUUGGCUUUUCUUUCAGGAAAUAAUACGAUUUUGUGAAAAUAAAUCUGGCUUUUUCUUUCAGGCAUGUUAAUUCAUUCGAUCUAAAGUUUGUUUAAAAUCCAAUAAAAGAUGAAGAUGCAAAAUAGGGCAGAACAGAGAAAAACAAGAGCUGAGCUUGAUCACACCUAUAGCCCACUACACCACUGGAUGUACAUUUCUAGACUCUAACGUGUGGUAUAUAUUUCAGUACAACAACCAGCAACAACAGGUGGCUGUAAUAAUCAAGCAAGGAAAAAACCCAUGCGAAGGAUCCAGCUGCAAAGUUAGUUGAAAAUUACUCAGAAGCAUAAGCGGGAUGUACAGUUUUAUGCUUCUAACUACAUUCAAUGUGUCACAGACCAUGUGAUAAACUUAAAGCCUUCAUCGGAAUCCUAAACAGCAUGCUAACAAGCUGCAAACUAACUCGCUUUAAUUUCUGACAGUAAGUGUUUUCAGAAAAGUUCUCUCACUAAUUAAGUAACAAUUGAGCUAUAAAAAAGGUCACAUCACCAGCAUACUUCAUCCUUGGCUAAUUAAUUGUGGAGCCGAUGAGGUAAAAACGGUAAUUGGUUGUCGACAAGAAACAGAAGGUAAAGACAAAGAAUUGCCACUUGAUUCAAUAUUUUACAUCACGUAAACAGAUUUAGAUUUUCGAACCCAUAAAGUCACCUGUAAUCGGGUCCUGCCCGUGACGCUAUAGUCUCCAACUCCUUCCUUAUAUACUUCGCUGCCUCUUCCAAUCCCGGAUGACCCUCCUGCAAUCCAAAUAUCAUGAAGAACCCAAUUUCAUCACCCAAACCAAUCGGAAACGACGAACUCCCCGAUCCACUCACCUGGCGCCCAUCAAUCUCGACCGUGAGCUGCCGGAUGUGCUCGACGACCCUCGCCUCCGAGAAGCGAUCCGAAGGCGCGUCGAGGCCGAGGGGAGCGACGUGCUUCAUGUGGAUGAUCCAAUAGGUGAUGCAGGACAUGAUCCCGAACAUGAGAGCGAGCAAGAACAAGCACUUGAACGCAGCCACAUCCCGCGAUCCCCACCCCAUCACUCUCGGCUAUAGAAAUUUGGGGCGAACGAAGAGAAAACCCUAGAGAGGAACACGAAUCGAAAGGAGAGAGAGAGGAAGGCGUAGAGGAGAUCUUGGAUUUAUUCCUCCGCCGCGCCCAAGAUUGGAGAAACCAACGGCUCGCGUAUUAUACUUUCCCCUCGUGAGGGGUAAAAGAAAUUAGCGCACCAACUCAUUAAAUAAUCGCGAAUCAAGAUCCACAAGUAAAAUUACGUACAUGUCCUUAUGCACACGAAAAAGUAUGUGUAUGCCCAUAUAAAUUCCAAUGUAGCGUGCGUCUGCCGUUGGUAUUCCCCAUUAAACCUUAGGUCAACGGUCAACCAUUACCAACUAUAAUUCUAUUUUACUGGAUAUAAAUAUAUAUAUAUGUUGUUUAAUAUUUAUUUUUUAUUUUUUAUAUUUAUAAAAUCUUUAUUAAGGAUACUAAUGGAACAAGUUGAGCUAUUCUCAUCCCUCAUCUCCCAUCCCAAUAUUUUUCUUUAAUUAUCUUUUUAAGAAAAUAUAAUAAUAAUAUCAUAUUUGCAAAGUUUAUACAUCACAAUAAUAUUCAAAUAUAAAUAUAUUAAAAUUAAUAUUUUACUCAAUUUUCAUACUCACAUAUCUGUGUACUACAAAAAUAACAUAACAUGUUAAGUAUCUAACAAUAUUAUUAAAAGAAAUCAUAUUAUUAAAUUUAAAAAUAUACAUCAGUUAUAUCACAAUAAUAUUUAUCUUCUUUAAAGAUGUGUAACAUUUCAAAAUAAUAUUUAUUUAUUAUAUAAAUAAAAUUUAUUAAUAAUUAAUAUUAAAUAAAAAUUAGAAUAUUUUCACUCAACUUGAAGUUCUUACCGUAAAUUUUCAUGGUCUUCGAACUUCUACUAAAAUAUUUUUUUUUUUUUUAAAUUUUAAAUAUAUUAAAAAAUUUAAGCAUAAUAUUGAUUUACUGAUUAAUAUUGAAAUAUUAGAAUCAUAAAUAUUGAGUUUAAUUCUCAAAUAUAUAUAUAUAUAUUAUCAUUAAUAAAUAUGAUAUGAUAAUAUAAAUGUGGCACGGAAUUCUCUAUCUAUGCCCUCGUUGGCGCAAAUAAUAGAAAAUGCUAUUAUCAUCAAUGGAAAAAUAUGUUAAAAUAAACUAAUUUUUUAAUAGAGCAAUAAAUCAAUCAUAAAAGAUUAAAUAUUUAACGUGAAAAACCUAAUAUGAAAAAAUCACAGGACCAUAGUCCACUUCAAACUUCUACUAUCAAUAGUAAUGAUAACAUGUUUAUAGUAAAUCUUCUCUAGAAUAACUAUAACAUCAAAAACAUAAAUCUUAACUCAAAAACAUAUCAUUAUCAAAAAAAUUCUAGAUCUCACAAAAAUAAAUAUAGCAUAAAAGUAUUUCAGAGACGGUAAAUCGUAGAUUAACACUAUUAGGAUUAUAGAGUUUACUAUAAAAAAUUUUCGUAUAAAAUUUGGAUUAAAAUCGAUAACAUUUGGCUACUAUCAUCAAACAGAAAUCUGAAGAUACUAAUCUCUCUCUCCUUUUUCUCUCUCUUUCCUCUCGCUGUGCACUACCGUCGUUCUCUGCAUACACGCACGCCGCCACAGUUCGCAGCGCGCUCUCUGCCUUCUCCCUCACCGUGCACCGCCGCUGCUCGUUGCGCAUGCACAAGACUCUUCACUGCACCGAUUGCCCUCGUUCGCUGCUUUCUUUUUUAAUUAUUAAUUUGGACCCAACAAUCCAUCCAUUUAAGUCUCGUUCGAAAACUUAAUUGAUCAUAUAUAAUGAUUUUAGAACGUCCAUUGCGUGGUAAUGGGUUGUAUUAAUUGCUUAUUCAACCAUUUGGACCGAUUACUGCACUUAUUAAUUGCGUUUGUCAUUGUCAUAAAUGAAUUAGGAGCCUCUCGUAUGACUUUCGAUAACUAAUAAUUAGUUGGGUCUAGAAAUUUCGGUACUAUAUAAGUUAUGACCGUCAAAUAGAAAACAUUGAUAGUGAUGUUAUUUUCUAUCAUUAAUGAUAAAUUCUUGGAAUCAGAUACGGUCUUCACCACUUCAUAAAUAAAAACUAUCUAUUUAUUUUUAUAGAUGGGAAAUUAAAUACUCUUUUUUAGAUUUUCUUAAAUGGUAUUCUAUUUUCAAAAUUCUCAAAUCACAAAUGUUCUGUAUAAAUUAUUAUUUAUAUAUAACUCUUGAACUAGCAAUUUUCACGUUUGCAUGUGGUGAGGGAUUUUAUGUAUUUAUUUUUAUUUUAUUUUUUUAUUAAUAUUCGUUAAGGAUAUAUUUAUAUAUAUAAAGGGAUAUAUUUUGCUAUAUUAGAAUUUAGAGGGACUAAUAUGUUAGCCUCCCUCCCAUAACCUUUCCAUCGGAGCAGAAACAGAAGGACGAUCGGUAAGUCAAUUCAUGGAUGCUGAAAACGUAGGGGACGGCCACACCUUCUUUUACAUGCGAAAGCAAGCUAUGGUGGAUUAUGGCGGCAGCAAUCGUUGACUCUGACGUCCGUUUUGUAUGAACAUCUCACGAGUUGGUAAGUCAAUAUUGUUUCAGUCCAAUAUAUAUUUAUCUUCUUCUUCGACUCUCGCUGGCCAAAUGUGUUCCUCCCAAGAACCAAAGUCUGAGAUCGUCAAAGUAGGAAAGCAGUGGUCUUCGUCAACAACAGCUUCUUGUGAGGGGAUUUGACAACAAGGGCAAUUAACUUGCCGACCAACUGUUCGACGGUGGUUCGAGGCGAGGAAUACUUCGUCGAGUGUGUCGCAUCAGAGCAGAGCAUCGGAUGAUGGUACAAAACUAAACUCCGUUUAGAAAGAUAGUUUAGAUGGGAUCCCAUUGCUCGUUGUCCUUCGGAUCAUUGAUUCGACUCGAAUUGGAUUAAAAUAUUAUAUUAUUUUAUUUUGAGAAACUAGAAUCAAUCGUCCUGAUUUCAAACCGAUUAAAUGAUAGAAAUAAAUAAAAAUAAAUCACAUGUAGAGUUUAUGGUUGAUGCUUAAAUCUUUUAUUUUAAAAUUAAGUAACCUAGUUUCAAAUCGAUUAAAAUUGUAUAAAUUUAUAUUUUUAUGUCAUUACACUUAUUAUAAUUAUACAUCUAUUUUCAAAUUUUAGAAAUACAAUUAUGAAUUUUUAUAUAAUUUUUUAUGUCAUUACACUUGGAUGAUUCAGUUUUGAUGGACAUAUUUAUGUUCGAAUCUUAUUCAAAUUGUAUGAAGACCGAGAUCAAAUUGAUUUCUCGAUAUGGUCCCUUUCAUACUAUACUCGAUUAUCGUGAUCUAAUGACUUUCUACAAUGGGUUUAAUUGAGAAAAUAUUUUAAGGUGAGAUAUGUUUUGAAAAUUCUAUUUUGGAUUAACGUCUACAUGACCCAAUCAUUAACCUAAAUCUAAUCUUUCUAAUUGUGCUACCAUACAUGAUGAGAUGUGAUCGAGAUAAAUGUUUUUUUUAUGAAAAUAUAAAUCAAAAGAGUUUAGAUUGGAUGACAUAUUUAUGUUUGAAAUCUGGUAAAUCGUCAUCGACACAUGAGAUGGAGUGUUCAUGUCUCAUCUAGCAUGUCUCUGCUUGCUUUGUUAUGUGAAAGAAAAUACUCAUUCCUUUGUUUGAAAGCAAUCAACAAGCUCUAAAUUUUCUAAUGAGAACAUUCUUGUAUAUUAAAAUUGUAACCUGAACAACUCUUCAAUCAACAAUCUGCAUGAGUACCUAAUUUAGACUUUGAGUGUAAUUUUUCUAUGUCAAAUUUUAAUAUUAAAAAAUUAAUCAGGAGAGUUUUAGAAUAAAUAAUCAAGAGAGUUUUUUUCAUCAAAAUUUUUUAAGAAAUUUUAUUAUAUUUAAAAAAAUUAUUGAUUGAUAAUCGUUAUCAGAAUUCAAUCAUAUUUAUAAUAUAUUUUUUUAAUUAAAUAUAACUCAUAAUCUAAUUAAAUUUAAUGAGAAAAUUCUUGUAUAUUAAAAAUGUUAUCUGAACAACUCUUUUGAUCAACAACAAUCUGCAUGAGUACCUAAUUUAGACUUUGAGUGCAACUUUUUUGUGUGUGGAAAGCAACAGCUGAGCAUCCAAUCAUUCACCCACCACCAUCAAAAACUACACUUCCUAGUAAAAGUCCAACCAUCAUCCAAUUGCUCUCUUGACCCUGAACAUAAAAAUCAAUAAUAUGUUAUUAUUAUAUAAAAAAUUUUAAUAUCAAAAAAUUAACUUCCUUAUGUGGCUAAAAGGAGAUAAUAAAAUAAAUAUGUAUAAUUUUUUAAUAAUAUCAUGUAUCCAUACAUCGACAUUUAGUUUCCGUAAAAUUUUAUCUAUUUAUAAGCGAGAAUAGAAGUUUUACGGUAAAUAAUUAAGAAAUUUUCUUCCAUAAUCUAAUUAAUUUUUUUAACGAGAACAUUAUUGUAUAUUAAAAAUGUUAUCUGAACAACUCUUUCGAUCACCAACAAUGAGUAACUAAUUUAGACUUUGAGUGCAACUUUUCUCAGCGUGGAAAGGAACAGCUGAGCUUCCCAUCAUUCAUCCACCACCAUCAAACACUGCACUUACCAGCAAAAGUCCAGCCAUCAUCCAAUCGCUCUCUUGACUGACCAAGUUUAGUAGGUGAGGCAAUCUCUUCCCAUUUCUUGUGAGUGGAGGAAGAACACAUGUCGAGCCUACGACAAUUUCACACUGCCUCAAGAGACACUUUGGGCUUAUUAUUUCAUGUGGAGGACAACAUGAGUGUAUAGGAUAGGAUGUAUCACAUAAAUUAUUGUGACGUUGAAGUUUGGUGCUUUUCUUGUGAGAAUUGCAAGAAACUUGAAUAUUUUCAAUGUUCUCAUAUAUUUCAUUUACUAAUUAUAUUUAGUACUAAUCUUUUCAUCUGUUUUAAUAUAUUAUAUAAUUUUAUGGUCAUUAACUAUUUUUUUACCUUUUCCACAAUGCAAAAUUAUUACAAUAUUAGAAUCUCUAUAUCAAAAUAUUCAAUAUUAUUUUUCAAUUUUAUAUACUAUUGAUAUCUUAACUUUGAUUCUUGAAACAUUAAAGUUCUCAAUAUUUGGUACUACAUGAGUUAAUUAUCCAUUACAAUCGGCUCGAGAUAUAAGUUUUAAAAUAACAUAUUGUGCUUUUAAAAUUUUUUUUUUAUCUAUUACGUAUCGUGUUAAUUGGUUUUUAUAUCAAAUUCGAUCUAGUUUUAUUUUACUGUUUCAAUAUUUUUCAUCAAAAAAAUUAUUAUUUUAAUCCAAUAUUGGAAGUGAUUGUGGGAUCAUAUGUACCAACUUACCUCUGCAAUGCCUGACCCUUAGGCAACUGAUAGGACUGUUCUUGCUCACCUCAUCUCAUUACUAUCUCCACCAAUUCAAGUUGGGCAUUCCCAAUUGCCUUGAGGACUAAGAUAAUCCACCAACUGUUUUUUUGGUCUAAAGGAUCAAUAUGAGCAUAUUGUAUCCAUGGCAGACUGAUUCCCAGAUGGUUUAGGAAUUAUAGAGUAAGAACUCUUGAAGAGACCGAUUGCAUGAUGUGUGACACUGAAUAGGUUUAUUGGGAUAAAUAGAGUAGAGAAAAAAGGGAAUUACUAAAGCCUUUCUACAAAAGAUGACUAUUUCGAUUUAUUACGUCUACAUGACGUCUUGUUCAGGAACAGUAACGUCCACGUGACCUCUCACGCGACCGCACCCGGGCCCCACCGCAUCCGUCCCCUCGCCACACACCGCGGAUGGGGUGUCGACACGGGGUGUGAGAAGGAAAUGAGUGUGCGUGAAGGAUCCCACUACCUCCACCCCAAAUCCUCCGCGGGCCCCGCCCAGGCGAAAAAGCGACGGUGGGCGACGCCCCUCGGCUCACUUUUGGGCCCCACCAUCCGUUCCCCGCACAGCGGCUCAACGAACGUCCGAUGCUGUUUAAGAUUCGUGCGGCGGAUCUCAGAUCGGAAUCGAACUUGUUCCCUUCCUAUACGAAACCGAGCCGACGUUAAAUUAUGAUUAUUAUUAGAUGGCGCGAUUAAAGCCACGCCCGUAGGGUCUAAGAAUGCGAUCUACCCCGCACGUUAGACUCAACAGUUGAAUCGAUCGUCCUAUAAGAGAAGGCGGACCGCGGAGGGGGAGGAGGCGGCGCCGAUCCACACAUCUCGAGGAGGAUCUCAUCCAUCCGUUUCGGUGGCACUCCUUGCUGCCACCCUUCGUGGCCUUCGUUGUCUAGGGCUUGGUCUUACUGCCCGGCUCGUGCCUCAAGCUCGGCGACCGGCGGCAUGGGGGCUCUCGACGCGGGAUGCUUCGAGGAGGAGCUCGAGAAUGGGGUCGGGUUGGAGGAGGAUGUGGCGGAGAUCGGGUGGGAAUCGGGGAUGACGGACUCCGAGUCUGAGUCGGCUCGGGCGAUCGAGGACGCCGUGCGGGUCUUGCUGCAGGGCCUUGGGGAGGACCCCGAGCGCGAGGGCCUCCGGAGGACGCCCCAUCGCGUGGCCAAAGCGUUCCGCGAAGGAACCAGAGGUUUGUGCUUGCUUGCUUUUUAUAGAUCUUUCUUUGUCGUCUCGUUUUUCUUAGAUCUGCUCGGUUCUUUUUUAAUAAAGCUUGAUCUUUAGUUUCUCUGUUGUGCAAUGGUGGAUCCUUUAGCUGCCCCUUCGUAGUAUGUGCGACUGACUGGCUGUAGUAAUCGCACCUUUCUCGUUCUUAGCGUGUUCUGUUUGUCUCUUAUACCAUCUUUUGGAGGAAAAGGUGACCUUCUGCUUUGUUUGGUUUAAAUGAUGGAACCAUUAGCUUCAAAUCUGUGGCGUUGCUUAAUUCUCCUGCCAAUACUCGCCCUUUUAGCUCUGUUUUCUUGAGACGAAAGGAAGUGAUCUGAAAAAGUUUCUCAUGCUGCAAGGGGAAGAUAUAGUUCUGAAUUGUUGUGUUGUUUGUUAGCGAUAGAUUCUGUCUUUACAAAAAAAGUUAUGGUCGUAUACGUAUUAUAAACUUUAGCGUUUGGCAAAUCUUCAUUUUUAUAUUUGACCUUUUGCUUUGUUUAAUUCAAUUGAUGAACCUUUAUCGUUAAAUAUGUGGCGACGCUUAUUCAUUACUGCCAUAACUUUCCCUUUAUGUUAAACUUUUGGUUUUUUUUUUAUCUGUGUUUAUUCCUGUUGCUUUGUUUCCUAGAGCAGAAGAGGUGUGAUCUUAGGAAGUUUCUCUCUUUGCACAGUAAAGAUAUAGUUCACUUUAAACAAUCCUACUCUCUUCUGAUGAGCGGAGUUCGCAGCUGCAUAGUUAGGUAAUAAAAUUUUACUUUUUGGGAAAAAAAAGGAUUGUGUGUUGUUUGUUAGCGACAGAUUCUGUCUUUGCAAAAAACCAAAAAGGUUAUGGUCGUAUAUGUAUUACAAACUUCAGCUAUUGGCAAAUCUUCUUUCCAUAUUUGAUCUUUGCUUUGUUUGGUUCGAAAUGAUUCAACCUUUAGCUUUCUAUCUGUGGCGACACUUCCAGGUGAUUUUGGUACUGCCAAAACAUGCUCUUUUGUCUUAAUUCCUGGUGCUCUGUUUUCUGGAGCAGAAAGGUAGUGGUUGCCAAAAUUUCUUACUUUGCACCAAAAAAACGUAGUUCGGGAAUAUUGUGUUGUUUGUUAGAAUAAAGUUAGUCAUAUGAGUACUAUUAACGUAUUGCUUUGGCAAAUGUCCUAUCUAUAUUUUGAAUCUUGAAGUCAGGAUUGCCUUUAUUUAUCAUUCAUGUUAGAUCUCUAAGUUCUUGUCUGCAUCAGUCAUCUUUUUCACUUAUUCAAAUGCUAUAAUUUAUUUAAGAUAAUUUGUGCAUUUAACCAAUUACGAAUGCUAUAUCUUACUCUGGAGUAUGUUCCUUGACAAUAUCAAAACAUAUUUAUUGUCACCUCUCCUGAAAAUCAUUUCAAUUAAUAUUUCUCCAUGUCAGUUGUCUAUGUUUCAAAAUAUAUUGCUUGUUAGUUUAAUUUCCUAAAAAUGUUGAAAAUGCACUUACUUUUGUUUUAUCAAAAAGAAAGUCUUUGCUUAUUGAUAGUCGGUAGAUGUUUCUCAGAUAUCAAUUCUAUCUUUGCCAACAGGAAGAUUUCUAUGCAUUUGAGCUUUAACCUUCAAAACAUAUUGCUCCUGACAGUUGUGUCAUGCUUAGCUACUUCAGUUCCUCACAACUUAUAUAUGACAAACUCGAGGAAGAAUUGAUCAUUGAUCUUGUAGAAAUUUUAAGUCACCUGAGGUCUUUAUUUAGUCUAUUCUAUUUUGUGUUAGGUUACAAACAAAAAGUAAAGGACAUCGUACAAGGUGCCUUGUUUCCAGAAGCCGGAUUGGAGACUGGAACAGGUCAUGCUGGAGGAGCUGGUGGGCUAGUGGUGGUUCGGAACAUCAAUCUGUUCUCAUACUGCGAGUCUUGCUUGCUUCCAUUCAGUAUCCAGUGCCAUGUUGGCUAUGUGCCAUCAGGUCGGCGAGUUGUGGGCCUGAGCAAGCUAUCCCGAGUUGCAGAUGUGUUCUCUAAGAGGCUUCAAGAUCCCCAAAGACUGGCAAAUGAAAUUUGUUCAGCGUUGCACAACAGCAUCAAGCCGGCUGGUGUUGCUGUUGCUCUUCACUGUUGGCACAUCCAGUUUCCUGAAGCCCUCCCGUGUAAUUCCAACUCAACAUACCCAUCCAAAUUGGAUAUGCAAGGGUGGAUACAAGUUUUGGUUUCUUCAAGUUCUGGAGUUUUAAAGGAAGAGAAAAGUUCUUUGUGGGAUGACUUUUUGGCACUUCUGAAGUUAAAAAGCAUAAACAUUGAAAGAGGGGAUACAAACCUUUAUUCUGCUUCUUCUUGGUGUCCAUCACGGGUUCUAGAGACAUCUUUGUGCAAUGGACAUUGUGCAAGGAGCCCCAAAAAUGGUAAGACUUCCAAGACAGGCGUUACACAUGCUUCCAUGAUGGCUGCUGUGGCUUCAAUUCUCCAUUCCCUUGGUGAAGAUCCAUCACGAAAAGAACUUGUGCGCACCCCACACCACUAUGUGCAGUGGCUUAUGAAUUCUAGGAGUUCUAACUUGGACUUGAGACUGAAUGGUCUUAGUAAAGCGAACUCCUGUAACGUGGUAGAUGGAAACUUUACUUGCCUGAACGAGAUCCAGUCUGUGUUGAACAUCCCUUUUUGCUCACAGUGUGAGCACCAUCUCCUGCCAUUCCACGGUGUUGUACACAUAGGAUACUUGGAUAAACAAGAAGGUAAAUGUAUCGAACGAUCUGUUUUGCAGUCAGUGGUUCAUUCCUUUGCUUGCAAGCUCCAAGUGCAAGAGAGACUAACCAGACAGAUAGCAGAAGCAGUUUAUUCAAUCUUCAAUAUUGGAGUAAUUGUUGUCGUGGAAGCUCACCACCUCUGCAUGAUAUCAAGAGGGAUUGAGAAAGUAGGAAGCAACACGGCUACAAUUGCAGUUUUGGGCCAAUUUUCUACUGAUGCAAAAGCCAAGGGUUUGUUUUUGCAGACAAUUGCAGAUAACAAUGCUUCUGAGGGUUAAACAUCUGAAAAUUUGAUCUGACUAUGUUGAUGAUACAUUUUUCCUGUUCAUGAUGAAGUCAAUCAUGAUAGGAAUGAUUCCUGAAUGGAGAUAGAAAUGCAGUUGCAGACAAAGCUGACACUUUUAAGUUCUCUUUUUGGGUUAACUAUUUGGAAAAGCCACCAGUCAGCAUGAAACUGGAGAAAUGGCUUGAAUUCACAUCAUUCCCUGCAUAUUGUUGAAGAAUAAUCAUAAAGAAAAAAUGAUUUUUCCCUUGUAAUAAUCUGGUUUCUGAAACAUUCAUUCAACGGUGUUGUUUAUGGAAGGGAAUAGUUGUACAAGGCAUGGGUAACAUUUACGGUUCUUCUAUAUAUGCCGAUCAUUUUUUCUUUUUUUGCAUCAAGAAAGAUAUUUGUGAUUCAGUGUUUUGGUUGUGGCUUUUCUUGUUUGUAUUUUCAUAUAACUUGGUGUAGAAUUGAUCCUUUGUGAUCAAAAUGUGAGUUUGUUUAUUGUUAGAAGUUGAUUUUUUUUUGUUGUGCUUCAUGGAUUCCUGGCGACUUGGUAGUUAUUGCUGUUGGUACUGUAUUUUGAAGAAAAAGUGAUGUUCUACUUUGUUUUGUUUAAAAGAUGCAACUCUUAGCUUUAAGUUUAUUAUUUGAGCUUAAUUCUUGACAGAUUACAUUUCUGCUGAAACUUACCUGUUUUUGCUAACGUAUAGCAUAUUUAUCUGCUUGUCAAUUCUUAAAACUUCGUUUGCUUGAGCUGAAGCAAAAAGUGAUAUGUAAAGCAAACUUUGGUUAUGGGUUCUUGCUCUGUUCACUGGAGAAAUGUUAUCGAGCCUUGUGUGUUAUCUAAAUGUUUGAGUUCUAGCUGUCAUUUGAUGAUUAUUUUGAACCUUGUUCUUGGGACCUCUUAUCUUUCUCACAUUAGAUCUUCAAUCAGUGGCAUCUUUUUUGGUAAUUUGAGUGCUAUGGUUUCUUUGUUAUGUUUUAUCCUUUUUUGCAAUCAAGUAAUGCUGCAUUCUGCUUCUGAUUAUGUUUCUUGAAAAUAUUUAACAUGCUUUAUGUUCCAUGCUACUACUGUAUUGUUGAUCCCCAAAUGUUUCAUAAUUUUGGAUUACUAACUUGGAUCUCCUCAGAAUUGAAUCAGUUUGUUGUGUCUUCUAUCUCUAUUUUAGUUUAAUAUUUAUCUGUGAAAUAUUUAUUUUAAUAUCUUUUUCUUACAAUUUUCUUCAUUUUUUAUUUCUUUGAAUUAAAAAACAUUGGUUAAGUGAAAGGCAUAUUUAUAACCUGGAACCAAUGGGAUAGUGCCACAUGGCAUUUAAGCAAUUGAUUGCUAAAAGAUGAGCAAUUUUUUUAAAAAAAUCUAAGUUUUUAUUUAUUUAUUCUUACAUAGUAUCUCUUAUUUUUUAAGAAACGAUAUUACAUUGACCUUCAUUUUUGCGUGAUUACUUUCGCUUCGUUGUCCUUAUAUUUGCUUGCCUACUAUACCCUUAUUCUUGUUCGUUGUUAUCAAUGCAUUGCUAAGGCUCGGCCUCUUCUUCAUCAUUUUUGUCAUCGACCUCAACAAUAGAGAGAAAGGAGGUAGUCACGAUGAGACUUUCCCUCCCUCCUCUCCCAUAUGGCCCAUUGCAUCGAGCAUUGCCCACGCCUCCUUCCCAAGCUAAUCUGUUCUCAUAAUUAAGCAAUGAUAAGAGGUGAAAGCGACCAUCGCAACAAGUGGAUGAAGUAGUGAAGGGCAUCACAACUAUCAUCAUUAUAAAGGAGGAGGGAGGUGAGGGCAUAAUAAUAAUUAACGAUGUAAAGGAGGAUGCGAUCAACGAUAGAACGACAUGUGCAAAGCUCAGAGGGGCAUAGUUGGAAUUACCAAAAGCCAAUGCAACAACACUAGCAAGAAAAGUUCGGACGAACAAGGAUAUGAUAACAACAAACGAAGAGUGAAAGCGACGAUACGAAGAGACCCUCUAUAGAAAAAAAAAAAAAGUAAAACUUUGAGAUUUUUCGAGAAUUUAUCGAAAGAUAAUUUUAUAAAUAAGAAAAAAAUAAAUAAUAAAAACGUUGAUAGGAAAAGUCAUAUUUAUAAUUUAAUUCUACCAACGGGAUAAUACCACGUGGCAUUGGAGGGGGCGGUUGAAAAAAUUCCUAAAAAAGAAAGAAAAAUACAAAAACAUUGAUCGACGGAGAGGCAUCAUUCAUAACCUAAUCCGACCAACGUGAUAGUGCCACGUGGUAAGAAAAAGAAAAUCUAAAACAAAGGAAGAAAACAAAUCGAACUAAAGCCGGCCGUCAAACUGUUGUAUACUCAAAAGACGGAGAGAUCGGAGGAGGAAAGAGAGAGAUACUUCAAAUCCUACCGUGAGACUACCAACCUGCGCACGGUGGAGGGGAAUUCGAGUUCUCCCACCGAAACAUCUGUUCCUGUUGCAAUGCCGAACUUGGAAGGAAAGAACUGAAGCUGAGGACGAUCAAUCAAGCCGGCAAAGCCUUCGAAGAGGUGGCGCUUUAAUUGAUAUUUUAGGGCCAUGUGCAGUCGGUGGCUUCCAAACCCCUCAUCUUCUUCCACCUCCAACGCGCAUACCGCAACAGUCCCAACUCUGAUCGACUUAUCUGAGGCAUGCAUGUGUGGCAGCGUGGACUUCCCACGUUGGCAUCGACGAAGCCCAUCGUCUCUCCACCGACAAAACAAGGUCACAAAGAUGCCUUCAAGUCUCCUCCUUUCCCCCUGUAUCCGGUGGUGUGUCCCAUGCCAACUCCUCGUAGUUUGGCGUCACCUGACUUCCUUUGAUUCUCCCCUUUUUUGCUGUCCUUCGAUUCACAUUGUCUUCCUCGGUUACACAAACCUAGAUGUUAAUAGUAAUUUAUCUGUGAUGGUAACUUGCAAGGUUCUUGAAUCAUACUCAUGAUUAAAACCACUGAACUUUGGUUUGCAGACCAAUUUAGUGAAGCUGCUGUAGUAUGCUCAGCUCUCUAAUGCCUUCGGUGCUGAACUGUUCAGAAAUAUCAGAAGAUUAAUCAGGCACCAACUGGGAGUGGUUUGAAACACUUGCUUCCUGGUCAAGUAAUUUAUGAGGGAGAUUAAUUGAAGUGCAGGAAAGAUGAUAGAUUACGUGGUUGUGUCAAAGAUGCCUUGUACUGCAAUUGCAGGAUUUUUAGAAUUGGUACAGCCAUGGGCAGACCAGACGAGGAUAUCCAGGAGCUGUCAGAGCCUAAAAAAGUUGUCUUCUCCUAGCUUUAGGUCUUAUCAUCAUUGAUCCUUCACACUUGAGGUCUGCAGUAUCAGUUUUGUUGUGUGUCAGGUACAGUAUUUAUGUAGCAGAGUGUAAUUUACUCGCCAAGCUUUAGACAGAUGGAAUCAGAUAAAACGCACCAAAACAAGGAAGAAGGGGACUUCUGGGAGAGUCAUAUUCAAUGCGAAGUAGUGAGGUGGUGGAAUCGGCCAUGUUGAUAAGCCCUUGGAAAGGGGCAGGAAACUACAGUGGCUAACAAGUCCAUGUCAACCAAUCGAGCGAGUCACACAAUGACAGUGAAUCCAAUAAAUGCUGCCUCUCCUCUCAAGGCAACUGUCCCAUCGGUUUGUGUUGGGAGAGUGCCAAUUCCAACACUGGUGAAGUGGCUGGAAACUUGGAGUGUCACUCGCCACUGAGCAAAGACCUGAAGAAAGUUGAACUGCAGUCAAAGAUACGCCUUCUCCUCCUUUCGGCUUGCUAUCUAUCUUCGAUCUGUUGUUUCUCGUAAGAGUCUGUUUGCCGGCAUCCACUGUAAGCAGCCACGCUGCUCCCUCUCCAUCUCGGAUGGUCCGGUGAAGACUGUCAUUCUCGUUGCAUUCCGAGUUCCAAGGAGGAAGGAGCAGAGUAACAGCAAUGGCGAAACGGACAGCGAACUCACGCGGGUGGCACUACGCGGCGAGGCAUGUGACUUCCAGACCACGCCACACCCUGCCAUCUCAGCUGUUGUACUGAAGCAGCGAUCUCCAUAGGCUUCCUGUGGCUUUCACCUGCACGAAAUUUGAGUCGGAUGGGUAGAGCAGAGCUUUAAGAUUGGUAAAAGAUAUGCGCAUCAACGGUAGGACUGAGCCAUGUCGAAUUGAGGAAGAUCCUGUUGUGACCAAUCAGAUUCCAAGUCAAGAGAAUCCAAAUGAUCCAUUUGAAUCCAUCAUUUUAAUGACGAGUUUAUAUUGUGUGAUAUUUGUAUAUAUAUAUAUAUAUAUCAUUUACCAUGUUGGGUAAUAGUAGUAGUAAAUAAUGGAGGAGUUGAUCAUACACAUGCAAAUGCUCAGGCUAAGGAGAAAGAAGGCAGCGGAAAAGAAAAGGAAAGCAAGUGGCAUCCAACCGACACCUCUCUCUCUCUCUCUCUCAGACAGUCUCACUCUCUCAUCAGCUCACUUGGUUCUUUUAUAUCUCUCUAUCUCCCUUCUUCCAUCUGCAAAUCCCAUCUCAGAGAGAGAGAGAGAGAGAGAGAGAAAUCAUCAGUAUCUUUGUAGCGCUGGAUCACCACCUUCAGCAUUGCUAUUAAUAUUACAAGAUGGCUUCUCCGCCGGACACAAGCAAGGCGUCCAAGCUGGAGCGCUACAACAGUUACCUACGCCGCCGGGUCAGCAGCGCCAAGCUCAUCGCUGCCUCAUCCUACAUCCUCUUCCGCGCCACCCUCCUUGCUGCUCUUCUCCUUAUCUUCCUCUUCCUCCUCCACAGCCCACCUCUCCUCUUCUCCGGCUCCCA